RNAcentral lists this long non-coding RNA (45413 nucleotides) under Gossypium barbadense (sea-island cotton). RNAcentral describes it as "long non-coding RNA (GBAR_LNC005966)". Lineage: Eukaryota; Viridiplantae; Streptophyta; Magnoliopsida; Malvales; Malvaceae. The record is from RNAcentral.
AAAAAAAAAAAAAUGAACUUUACACAAAAGUUGCAUUCUUUUGAUAUAAUUAGUCAAAAUGCAUCUUUGGAUAAAGAUAAUUAUUAUAAUGACUUCAUAAAAAUAUAUUUAUACAAACUAAUAAGUAGCCCACCAAAGUAGUCAAUUUGACUCAAUUAUGAUAUAUUAAUUUUCUAUUUUCCAAUAAGUUUCUUCAAUUUCCAUUCUUUUUUAUUUCUUUAAACAUUUUAUUUGUUCAUUUAGACAAACAAAUUUUGAAGGCUUGAAGCCAACAUUAUUAAUUACAACCAAGCAAUGUUUCAUGGAUGCUUAUAUUUUUUUUUUAAAUCAUAUCAUUUUUUAAAUAAAAAUGUUAACGUUAAAUUUUUUUUUAAUAAUAUUGGGGUUAUAAUUAUAUAACAGUCUACAUAUACUUCAUAUUGAUAUGAUAUUAUUUAUCUUAUUUUCCACAUUAACAAAUAAUUUAGAAUUUAUAAAUAUAUUCAAAAUUAAUAUAUAUAUAUAUAUAUAUAUGAAGUAUAUGUGAAUUACCAUAAGGAUUGCCAUGUUUAAAAAUUUAACAUUUUAGUUAACAUUUUCGUUAAAAAAUCAAUUACUUUUAAAAGAUUGAUAAUAAAAUUAAACUAUUUUUAAAAAGUUGAUGAUUAAAUUUAAAUAUUAAAAAAUUACAUAAAAUUGAGGCGAAAUUUAGCCUUUAUUUUGUUGAAUUAAUGUUACACAAAAGGGCCCUCAGCCAUAUAUAUAUAUAUAUAUAUAUAUAUCUUCCUAUUGUUGUUUUUCUUUUAACUCUUUAACAUGGAUUAUUAUGGUUAUAAUUUGGAAUUAUUAAAAGAUGAAAGACUAAGGCUCACCCCUGUCCCACUCUCCGGCCCCGGCACCGCCGUGAUUGCCUCUAACAACCACGUGUUAUCAUGUAAUUAGAUAUUGGCACGUGGGGUGAGGGCUUAGGAUAGCUAAUCAAAUAUUAUUACAACAAUGAGUAAUUCCUUUAUUACCAAUAUUUUUCAAAAUCAUAUGAUUAAAUUUAUUAAAUUUUAUAUAAAUCUGGAAUUCAGUUUGUGUAACAUUUUCUUUUCUUUUCUAGGAUUACUAGCUGUAAAAAAGGUGUUAACAUCAAAACUAGCUAUCAAUUUUAAUUUAACAUACAAUGUCAUGCUUUAAUUUGCAUAUAAUUUUUUUAAACUAUGUUAUUGAAAGAAGUAAAGUUAGAAAUUGUUUUGGGGGCCAAAAAUUAAAUAACAAAUUUUGAAAUUGUGGUUACUGUUGAAGCCAUCCUUUUUUUUCGAAAUUUUAAAUUUAAUAAAAAACGGGGAUCGACUUUUGAAAAACAAAUACAUAGAGUCGCCACCGAUCUUUUGUUUUGGUGUGAUCGGAUCACCUAAGAAUUUGGUUAUUGCAAUAAAACAUUUUGAUUUACUAAAACAACGAUCCUGGUCUACAAAAAUACGAGAAAACGGGCUCGGGAGUCGGUUACGUAUGAGGAAGGAUUAGCACCCUCACUACGCCCAAAAUUGGUACCAAAUCGAUUAGAUACUGUCCUUAUGUCUACAAUAAAAAAUGUUUUUGAAAUGUGUUGCUUUUUAAUAACAUUUGAAUAACCUUAGUUGGUUGCCAAAAAUCUUCUUGUUUCGACGUCCGAAAAUUUAUAAUUCGAAAAUCACAAAAGGGUGCUCAACUAUUUGGUCCAACAAAUAACCGUAACCCAGCACGGUAAGGCACGAUUUCUCGAAUUUCCAAACAUUGAACAUUGCCUCGCCUUAGAAAAUGCGAGUGAAAUUCCGAAGGGAUAUUAAAUUAUUUGGUGCAAACGGGAGAUUGCAACCCGGCACGAUAGGACACUACUCCCUGAAUUGCCAAACAUCGAGUAUUUCCUUUGUUUUAAAGAGUUUUUAGAAAACGUGAGUGAAAUUCCGAAGGAAUCUUCGAUUGUUUUGAACAAAAUGAAAAUGCGCAACCCAGCACGAUAGGGCACGAUUCUCAAAUCGCCAAACAUCAAAGAUCACUUUCGUUUUGAAAGGUUUUUAAUGAACAUGAAUGAAAACCGAAAGGAAUAUUCGAUUGUUUUAAACAAAUGAGAAACACAACCCAGCACGAUAGGGCAUGAUUCCCGAAUUAUCAAACACCGAGUAUUGCCUUCGUUUUAGAGGAUUUUUUGAAGACAUGAGUGAAAUUUUGGAGGGAUAUUUGAUUAUUUGAAGCAAUCGAGGAAUUGCAACCCAACACGUUAGGGCACGAUUCAGCGAAUUGCCAAAUAUCGCACAUCGCCUUCGUUUAAGGGAUUUUUUUUUAAAAGACAUGGGUGAAAUUCUAAAGGGACCUUCGAUUACUUUGAGCAAAAGAGGAAUUGCAACCCAACACGUUAGGGCACGAUUCCACGAAUUACCAAAUAUCGAAUAUCGCAUUUGUUUUAAAGAAUUCUUAAUAGUUGUGAAACUAGUUUAAAACGCAUUAAUUCGAUUUGAAAUAAGACGAAAUUAAUCAUAAAAUUUGAAUUUUAUAAAACCACAUUUUAAAAAUCGAGUGGAAAACGAUGAAUGGGGUAAUAUGUGUACGCAUAAAAAUACGACAAUGAAAAAUGAAGAUAAUACAGUUUAUUUAAUCAACUACAAGAACUUAAAUGACUAAGCAUAACUAGUUUGGAAGUAUAACUCAAUUUCAACCAUGCAUGGAGAAUAAUUAACAUGACAAUAUGAAACAAUGAAUAAAUAAUAUGCAACGAUAACAUAUAUGACAUAAUAAAAUGAUUACUAUUAGAUACACAAACAAAAUGCAAAUCGAAGAAAUAGCAUGGUAUAAAACUAUUUUAAAGUAAUGACGAAUAAAUGGGCACAUAAAAUGUGGGUUGACAAAUUUGUAUAUAUAAAAAACUAGGGCUAGAUAUUUAGUUUUUUGAAAUAGACAUUAUAGAAUGAAAGUUUGAAUCGAGUUGCAUGUGAAAUAUUUUAAACACAAGUACAUUCAAAAGUUGACAAACUACAUGAUGAUUUAUAAAACAUAUAUACAUGUGAAUCUAUCGAAAGACAUAAAAUUAAUAAUGAGAUAUAUAUAAAUUUUCAAAAUAAUCUAAAAAUUGUACACAUUCCUAUAUUAAAACAUUUAAAAUAAUAGACUAUAUAUACACAAAAGCAAUAUAAUAUGAAGAUAUACUCAAACAAUAAUAAUUUUAUAAUAAAAAACAAUGAAAUUUCCAAAAUUAUUUCAUAUAUGUUUAUAGAGAAAAUACUUGAUAAAUCACAAAGCAAAAAGCGUUUUAAAUAUAAAAAAAACUAUUAAAGUAAUAAGUGUAUUAAUAUAUAUAUACACAUAAUAAAUUUAAAAGUAAUUACAUGUAAAAUAACAUAGAAAUGAUAAUAUGCAUAGGGCUAAAUUAAUUUUAUUAUAAAUUGCACAAUAGAUUUAAAAAACAUGCUUAUAUAUAUAUAUAUAUAUAAAACUAUAUGUAUAAAAUACAUUGAUUUAAUAAUAUGUAAAUCAAGUUUGGGUAUCUAUAAAUAUGUAUGCUCGCAUAACGAUGAUUUAAAAGACAUAUUAUAAGAUUUAUAUAAUAUAAUAUAAAAAUGUGUUUAAAGGAUAUCAUAUAUACAUAAAAAUAUAAUUUUAAUAAUAUGCAUGAAAUAGAAAUAAAAAUAACUUUGUUAUAAAAUACAUGGGUUUAGGGAAGUGUAUGAAUCAAACAUCCGUCUCAAUAUAUCUAUGCAUGUACAAAAAGAAUUUUGAAAUGAAUGAUGUAUAAAAUAAUUUCAUGAAACCAAUUGCUUUAGGUUAAUGACACAUAUUGGCAAUGCACACAUAAAUAUGAUGAUAUAUGAGAGAGUAUAAAACAAAUAAAUUGUAAGUAGAAUGGAUUAAGAUAUAUACAUAUACACAUACGAUUUGAACUAUGUAAGGCUAAUAAAAUAGUCCAUGAUAGUAUAUUGCAAGGUGAAUGACAAGUAAAUUUGAAAAUAUUGCAAAGAAUGAAAAUAUGAGCUGAAAUAGCAAAAGUGUACUUAAUCGAAGUGAAAAUAAAACUGGAAGGAUAAUUCACGAAUAGAAGAAAAGCCAAAAGACGAAUUUAAGGAUAAAAGCUUGAUAUACACAAAUGUUCAAGGACUAAACCGAAAAUUGUCCCCGAAUUUUAAAAUGCAACAUUUAAUCGUUGAUUAAAUUGGGACUAUGUACAAAUCUUAGGAAUAAAUUAAAAAACGAAAGGGAAUAAAAGGGGUUUCAACUGAAUUAUGGCACGAGCAGAAGGGGCUUAGUACGCCAUUGUCCCUUCCAGACCUAACACGCGGGUCAUCGGGUGAAGGCCACCAUUCGACGUAGUAUUUGGACCACCAAAAAUUGGUCAAAACGGCGUCGUUCUUUCGCUCUCUUAUAAAGCUAACAUUACCUUCCUUCAGCCGAACCCUAACCAUGCCCUAGCCUCCCCCUUUUCAACAGCCGCACUUUUCAUUUUCCCUCAAAAACACCAGCACUCUGCAAGGUAUGGUGACCGGCGCUCCAAGCUUCAAAGUACGGCCCGUUUUAGCCACAGACCCCCCCUUCUAACUCCGAUUACGACAAAGUGAAAGGGGACCGACGGCCUAGCAGUGAGGUAAGUCCUUCGUUUUAUUUUGUUAUGCUAAGAAAAAAGACAAAAUAAAAAAAGGAAUGGAACUGAUAAAAAAAGAAACAAGGCGCUUCAAAUCACCUUUUCGAUUGCUCUUUUUCUUUGUAUUUGAUAUGCCAAAUGUGUGUCUGUAUUGCUUUCUAAUGCGAUUGCGCGUAAAUAUUACAAUGAACAAAAGCUUUGGCUUUAUAGCCGAAACAGAAAUAAGAAAGAUCCAAAAUAAAAUAAUAAUAAUAAAUCAAUACGAAUUCUCCUUUUCGUAUUUGCUGUUGUGGUUUUGUAUUUACUCGCAGGUACGGAGUCUGCUGGCAUGUGUACGGAGGUACGGGCAUGGCGUACAAGGGCUGUGGCGUGGCUGCUGAAACGUUGGGGCAUAUGGAGGCAUGGAGGCUGGGGCUUGGUGGACCUGCUAGGGUUUCUGUCUUGGUUUCAGUACUUGGGCCGUUUGGGCUUGUAACAAGUUUGGGCUAGGGCAUUGGUUAUUGGGCCAUGUAAUUGGACUUGUUAUUAGAUUUAAGUUUUGGUCUUGUAUUAAUUUUGGGUUUUGGACUGUAAAAAAGGAUAUUUAAUGGACUGUGGUUAUUUAUUUAUUUAUUUAUUUUAUAUUUAUAUAUAUGUUUGGGGUUUUUUAGCGGGCCCGGGCCAAAAUUGGUCACUACAGCUACUAUUUCAACUAUGAAAGUAAAAGUGCGUAAAAUAUAAAAAUGAUCAUCAAAAUUAUGCAGGUCUUUAUCCAUAACAAUGAUUCACUAUCUUCCUCACAGUGCAACUAAUUUUUUACAUCCUAGUAUUGGUCUAACACUCAUCAAUUUAGAAAUCUCAUUGUUGUACAAAGACUAAAUCACUCCCCCACUAAGUUUUUCUCUCGAAAGUUUAGUUUUGCAAUCUAGAGACUCUCUUGAUUGCUUACAGAAGCAAUGCACACAUAAAAUAUUCCUCACUAAAACAAAUUUGUGCUCUCUUAAUCUCUCAAUUACUUUCGGUUACCUUUAACCUAGACAAAACUUAAGUUUAUGUAGUACUUAAGUUUUGUUUACAUAAGAGUCCUAUUCUAAUCAUUUGUCUAUAAAGUAAAGCUAAAAAAUAAGCAUAGGAUAAUAAUUCCAUAAGAGUCUUGGUGUAAUCCAAAGUCUUCAACUUAAUUUGUUCUGCAAAAAACCAGUCUUCAAGUCUUCAACAUUAACUCAAUUGGUUUUUUUCAUAUUCCGGGCUUUAACUUGUCCAAAUAUUUUCAAAAUAAAUAGUCUAAUAUUUUCUUUUUGUAAAAUUUGUUAACUCUGUAAAUAGACAAAUAUGACAAUAAAAUAAUGCAUCAAAUUGUGGGCACUGUUUCAGCCACAAAAAAAUUGUCACAAAAUUCACCUUACCUUCAAACCUAUCAACAUGUUAUUGUUAUACAAUUUUACGGUAAAUUACACCUUUGAUUCAUAACAAUUUUGACACUAUUCUUUCUUGCUAUUCGUAUAUUGCGAUUAGUUACUUUAUAUUAAUCAAUAAGUUAAUUAUAAUUUGAAACGUUGCAAGGUAAAAUCAAAACAAAGCAAUUAAGAUACAAUACAAAAUAAAAGAGUAAUAAAGAUUUUAGGGUUUGGUUGGUAGAGUGGAAAAACAAUUGAAAGGAUGAAAAAUUGAAGGGUUAGAAAACUAGAAGGAUGAAAACCAAAUUUUUUUUUCAUAAGUAUGCUUAGUAGGAGAGAGAGAAAAAUAAAAAGAAAGUAAAACAUUUGAAAAUGCAUUCUUUUGAAUUAACUUGCACAUCUCUCUCAUCAUUCCAAUUUGAAAUGAUUAAUUUUUAUGCAUUAUGAUAAAAAAUGAUCAUCUCUCCUAUUUUUUUCCUCACUUUUUUUCAACCAAGCACAUUCAAAAUUUAUUUUUAUUAUUCUAUUUUUUUUCACUCCCUCCUUUCAUCUCCAUUUUUCCUCCCAAUUAAACACAUCCAUAUAAAUGGUGAUGGAAAAAAUUUAGAAUGUAAAAAUUGUUAUAUGUAUCUCCUUUGUUUAUGUGUGAAAUAUAUAUAUAUUAAGAAAUAUAGUAAUUAAGUAUAAAAGAUUUUUGUACCGAAACAUGUGACUUAUAAUAUAAACUUUGUUUUUUUUUUUUUUGGUUAAAGAUUGAAUUGACUACCAAUUAAUUUGGGAUUCAAUGACCAAAAGGAUGAAAUGUAUGUGAGAUUUAAUUACAAUAAGUUUAGGGUAAUUUACUAAAGUAAAUGAUCUGAGCUGAUUUCAAGAAUCUAUGAUUUCCUGUAUCUAAUAAUAGUAAUUUUAUUGAAUCUAAUUUUUUAAAUUAUUGUAUUAAUGGUUAUAAAGGAAUAAUAAUUGGCGAAUCGGCUUUCUUUGCCAUAUUUACAUAAAUUAAAAUUAUAUUUCGAGUGAACCCCAUGUCAUAGUUUGAUGGUUAAGGGUGUUCAUCGUUAUAAAUGUGGUCUAGAUUCGAGUUGUGCUAGUCGCAUUAAUUAUUCAGGUCUUACUCUAUUAUUGUAAUCCCAUGCACAACCCAUGAUAUAUGUUCAUAUUAGUAAAGUUAAUUUUUGAUAAUUUUUCUAUCUAUUUUGAGGUGGUUUGAUAAAUAAAAAAGAAUAAUAAUUAAAAAAGACGAAAAAAUUAAAUAAAGUGCUAAAAUAAUUUUUUUUAAAGUUGGAAGAAAAAAAUCAUGUUACUUUUUCUUAAUUAGUUGUCUCCAAAUUAAAACAUCUCAAUCCUAACAUCAUAAUUUUUAUGGCUUGAAGGACAAGCUUUAAUUAAGGGGAAUGAUGGUACAAAUUUAUAAAUUUAUAGAUGAGUAGUUUUGGGUGUAACAUAUCAGUUAAACUGAUAAGAUGGACUAAAUAAACUAAAAUAAUUUGGUUUAUUUAAUUAUUUCGCCACUUAUUUUAUUAAUUAAAUAAAUUGAUUAAACAUUAAACUCAAUCCAAUAUUUAAAUACACCCACUUACUUUUAUAUAAAUCAACUCAAAUAUUAAAUAAUUCAACCCAAUUAAUUACUCAAUUAGAAAAUAGCUCAAUUAAUUAAAUAUAAAUAACCUAAUUAAUCAAUUUGAAUAAAUAAUCCAAUUCAAUUAAUUACUCAAAUAUAAAAUUAAACACUCAAACAUAAAAUAGCUCAGCCCAAGCUAAUUCAACUAAUUAAUUAAUUCUACAAAUACAUCUUAAAAACCUUAAAAAAAAAAUAACUCAACCAAACUAAAUUUUUUUUUUCAAUUAAUUUGCUUUUGGAUCUAAAUUCGGGAGUGCAAUUUUCGGCUUUAAUUAAAAACUAACUCGGGUCAGGUAGGUUGAUCGGUUUUGACCUAAGUUUAAUCGUUUGAUUAUCAAUUUUUGAAUUGCGAAACCAAACAGACAAAAGAAUUUAAUUUAAUUUAUAUUAUUUUUAAAUUAGUUAUAAUAUAUUUAUAUUUAUAAUAUAUAAUAAAUAUAUAAUCAUAUAAACCAAAUUCAAUAAUCCAAGAUCAAUUAACUGAAGAACCAACUAAACUGGUCGAAUCAAAGUUAAUUCGUUUGAUCGGUUUUCUCAACUGAAGUUAAUUGGAUCGGUUUUCUCAUAUUAAAAUUGAUUAAAUCAAUUAAAAAAAUGACUAAACCGAUGAAUUAAAUCCAUAAAUUUAAUUUAGUUGUUUAGGUGAUUUAAUUGAUUUAUUAAAAAAAAUUAUAAGUAAAAACCAAAUGGAUGAAACCAAUGAAAUAUAGUGUAGCAAAAGAUAAAAGAAAAGAACCCCACCUAAUAAUUAAAGUGUUUACUGUCUUAAGUGUGGUUUGGGUUCGAAUUGUAUUAAUCAUAUUGUUGUUUAGAGCAUUAUCCUCCACUUGUAAUUAAAUAUUAAAAAUAUAUAUAUAGAAGAGGAGAAUUUAAUUAGUUAGGUGCGGCUUAGUUAAGGAAUUUGCUCAAAGGUUUCAAAUCAGUCAUUUACACUAAUUUGGUGAAGUUGUUGCUGAUUUGAUUGAGCUAAUAAUUUAGGCAAGUGAGGGAUCAACAAGUCAACCCAUUCGCUUGAUGUCCAUUCAAUAAUCAACCUACGUUUUCUCAAAUCUCAAUAACCAAUUUUCUAUAUUAUUAGGAAAUGUUUAAAUUUAGUAUCACUUCUUAUUAAAUUCUAAUUACAUCAUUACACUAUCGUAUUAUAUCAAUUAAGUUCUUUUAUUAUUAAAAUUAUUAGUUCAACUGUUAAAUAAUAUAUCAACUAAUAAAAAAAUUUAUAUUUGAAUUAAAAUUUUUCCUAACUAAGAAAAAAGAAAAAACACCUUUCCCUCCGCAUUAUUACUUAAAUAAGUUCAGAUGUAUCAUUUAAAAGUUAAAUUAAUAAUUUUAGUAAUAUAAUAAUCUAAUUAAUAUAACUAAUGUAAUAUAAUUAACUCAAUAAAAAUAAACAUAUAAUUUACUAUGUUAAAAAAAACCCCCACCGACUAAAUAUUUCAUUUUUUCCUUCCCCCCCCCCCCCCAACAACAAGCUGUUGGUGGUGCAGCAUUAGUUAUCGAUAAUCAAGGAAAUCAAAUCACUCUAUGCAGGGUACAACCACACUAACGUACAUUCUCCUUAGGAGUCGUUUUCUUCUCCUUAGGCAGAUUCUCUCCUAAAGUUUUAACAUAUAGAGUAGCAAGUGCUCAUCUCAUAAUUAUUCUCUACUCACAUAAAUCAAACAUAUUUUCUGGUCAAUUAUAAUUAACCAUUGCUAUUGAUAGUAGGGGUGUAAAUAAGGAGUGGUCUUGUCCUCCCCACUAAAAAGAAUAGUAAAAAUGUAUUUUAAUUUUUUUGAAGUUUACAAAAUUAUAAGUUAGUAUAACGAUAAAAUUAUACUUUAAUCUCUCAAAAAUUUAUAAUUCAUCUUUGGCCUUCCCUAAAACAAUUUUUUUGACUUUAUCCAUGAUAGAUGACAGAUAUCAUAGUUUCGAUCCGAAAAAAAAAAAUUUCAAAUAUUCUCUUAAAAUUUAACUUUGUUAAUUUCUUUUAUAUAAAUUAUUGAAUCGUUAAUUUUUUGUAAAUUCUUGUAAAAUAAUAUUAAAUGUAGACAAAUUAUAAUAUUUUAUUUUUUUAAAAUUUCUCAAUUAACAUCUGGUCAUACAAAGCAUGCCGGUGGCCGAUAAAUUAAAGGUACCGGAGAUGGAUGGAAAGUGUAAUUUGUGAGAGAUGGAUGGGAUGAGAGAAAGAUAGAAAGUGCUCAUUUGUAGAUUAACUACAGAUCAAAUCAACAUAAUCCAACUGAACUUUAUAUUGUUCUUCAUUAACUAAACAUUUAUUAAUUCUUUCAUUUUCUUGAAAAUAAGAUGAAGGAGCUGUUCCUCCACUUACAGUCAUACAAGAUGGAAACUGAUGAAAAAUCAACUGACGAGGAAAUUCUAGGGUUUUUGAAAGAAACUAAAAGAAAAGCAUAAAGGAUCAAAUUGAGAAGAGAGUAAUGAUUUUGUCCUUGAACGAAAAUUUGGCCAAAUUGCGCAUAACAUGGAUGUGGGAUCCUUGCCUUAAAAACCCACGUGACAAACAAAACAAAAAAGGAAAUUUUAUGAAAAAAAACAAAAAACAAAUGAGAUAGAUAAUUUGAAAGAGAAGAAUGAUAACAAAAUUAAAUAAAUAUAAAAGAGACAGAUUUGUUCUAUGAAACACCUAAUUAAUUUAUGGACUUUGGAUGAUUAUGAAACAUUUAACCGAAGGAUUCACCCGUCAACAACACAAGAAUCAUUAACUGCCAAAUAAACUUGUUUUAUGUAAAUCAACAAGGUUUUUGGGCAUAAUGGAAGUUUAAUUUUUUUUUAAACAAAGUCUUGUGAUACUUAUAACAAUAAACUCUUAAUCGAAAUCAUAUAUGUGCUUUUUAUGAGAUAGUCUAAGUCAAUUUUGACUUUCAACCGAAUGAUAUUUUCUAUUAUUUUCGAACUUAAAUUACUUUGAGUGUGAGUUUAAACAAAUCAAACCAAGAACACAAAAUGAAAACUUUUCUUAACUUUCAAUGGGAAAGCUAAUUCUUUCUAUAACCGAAAAUUAUGCAUUUUUUUUUUCAGAAAAUAGAAUUCUAGGCCAAAUUCACAAAAUUUGGUACCAAAUUUAUUAAAUAUCUUGAACAUUAGAACAUUCUUCUUGAAGUAUCAACUUUAUUAAAUACCUCUUUAAGGAGUUGAUAUGAUAAAAUUAAAAUAGCACGUGCUUGAAAUUAUUGUCGAAGCUUCUUGGUAGCUACAUCCAAUGUGAAUUCUAUCUUUUCCAAUCCAAUGUAAUUGAGCUCAUCAUUCUCUACAACCCUAUUCACAUAGUAGACCACAAUCUGGCAACCUUCAUCUUCCUUGAUUACAGUUGCUAUUGUCUCCUCUAAUGUGACCUAAUAAACUUUUAAUUAGUCUCCUAGUAGUGGUGAUGCUAGUAAUGAAGAAAACUUAGGUACGCAUUCAAUUGUUUCAAAUGCUUUUUGACAAUCAUCAUUCAAUUAAUAACAAGGAUCAUAAAACUUUGAAAAAUGGCAAGCACUUGUAUGUUGGUUCUGACACAAAUCUAUCAAUGCUACAACAUUUCUAGUUAAGUGAUGCAUUUCCUUGGUAUUCUUAUGAGAAUUCAUAUUUAAUAUUGCGUGAAUUUUUUCUAGGUUCACCUUAAUAACCCUGUAGAAAUCAUAAAAACAAGGAACUUUCCUACUUCCAUAAAAAAUGUAGACUUAGAUGAUGCAGAACCCAUGAUUCGAGAAAACCUCAAAUCUCCAAGUUUAGCAAAUUGGAAAAAAAUAUGUUUGUGUUAAAACAACAAGAUAAUUUAGUGUAUACCACCUCUUAUUAACUUGUUACUAGAAACAAUGAUAUUCGGAUAGUCUAUCUUACAAUACCAUCUCUAAUAAAGUUGUAACUAGAAACAACGAUAAUCGAGCAACACCCUAUACCACCCUUAAAUAACAUGUACCUAAAAACAAAGAUAACAAAAAAAAAAUUAACAAGGUAAAUCAUUCAGCCUCGAAAAGAAAGAAUAAAGGCCAAAUUUUAUUAAGCUCAAAUAUCCCUAUUUACAGUGGUCGGCCAAUCCAAGUAUUUAUAUGCCUUUCAAUAUGCCAAAGUUCAAAAAAAAAAUAUAAAUUCCUAAAGACCAAUUGAAAAUUCAAUUUUACAAGUCUUAUAUAAUUAAAUCUCUAAAUAUCAUAAAACUCCAAUUAAACUAUCCUAACCAACCAUAAUUAAGGAGUUUUAUUUACAGUAUAUCUCUCUAAUUAAAUAUAAAAACUCUUUGAAAUAAUAAAAGUUCCAAACUGACUAGACACCUAGAGUUUUUAAAAAAUUUCCUCAAAUAUUGUCUACUAUCUUAUUGCAACUUUCAACUCUUAUGUUGUCUUUGUUGAUGCUCGUCCAAUUUUCAUAGAUGCAAAUUUGCAAACUUAAAAUGUACUAAAAACAAUGAGAUGUUUUUUUUUAUAUAUAUUUUUCUUUUUAUUCACAACUACUAAAUAAAACAAUAAAAAGAUAAUUUAAACACUUAAACUAAAACUAUGAUACUAAUGAUGUGAAACCCAAGAUCUAAGAAAACCCCAAAUCUCUAAAUUUGGCAAAUUGGUAAAAGAAAAAACAUGCCAGUGUAUAAAAAGAAGAAGAUAAUUUAUCUUGCACUAUACCUGUAGUGAACUUGUAAUUAGCAACAAUGAUAACUAGAUAAGUAAGCUUGUGGUCGUGCAUGUGUUUCCUUUUGAUAUGUAAGAUAUUGAAGGUGCCAAUAAUAAGGAUUAAUGAACUAGAAUAAAAUUCGUAAUUAAUGACCACAAAAAGGUCAAGCUUGAUAUUCAUGUUCAGUUGCUUCAUAUUGAUUACAUGCAUUGAAUGACAUUUCAGCAUUUGGAUCAUGUUGUUAUUGGAAACUGUGAAGAAACCUUUUUUUUUUGAGACAUGACUCAUACAAUGCCAAAUUGUUGAUACAAACUAGGGAGAUGGUGGUUAGUGGUGGUUCACACGAAGGUGUUGAGAGUAGAGAAGAUUAAUUUUGGGGACCAAGGAUGAGGGUCAAAGGUUCUCUAAACCAUUUGUCAAAGAUUAGGUUUGAAAUGUGUGUCUUGAGAGAAUACGGUUAAAGAGAGAGGCUAGCGUAAGGUUUAAUUUGUUCUAGGGGCCAAUGGAUAGGUGUCUUGCUAGGAAAAGUGGUAAGUUAAGUCAUGGUCGCCCUCCAACACUUGCAUUUGUAUAUGAUUGGAUGGUUUAUUGUCUUGCUGAGGGGGCUUCUAGUGGAAUUGAUGUAAUUAGCAUUUGUCCACAUGUUAUACAUGUAAGAGAUUGAUACGGUGAUUGUAUGUCAAUUUUUUGAAGUAGUCCCAUUUAAGCAUGGUGAUCCUUUAGUUAUGAGUUGGACAAACUCCUUUUUAUUUUCCUUUUUAGUUCGGGCAACUGAUUUGAGCGAAAUAAUUUUAUAUAACAUCUACAUAUAUUUAUAUACAUAUAUAGUAUACGAAAAUAUAAACCUUUUUCAUUCUCUAUAAUUAUAUUUUUUUUAGUGAUGAAAUAUUUCAUCACAUUUUAUGAUUUUUAUUUAUAAAAGUAAAAUAGGAAAAUACACAAGUUUUAAAUUAAAUCUAUUAGAAGAUACCUUCGGUUCGCUUUAGAAAAAUAAUUUUGGAUGUAAUAUAUAUAUAUUUCAAUAAAGAGGAUUACUAUGUGAAAUUAUGAAAAAUAUUAAAUUAAUUGAGACACAACAUUAACAUAAAAAAAGUAUUAUUUUAAAUAAAGUAUAUAAAAAUAAUAUGAAUAUGACACAUAUGUGAACAUGUCAAAAUAUAUGUAAAAGAAAUUAUUAAUGUGUUAUAAAUUUAUAUAACACUCCAAACAUAUGCAAAAUAACACAAGCACGAAAAUGAUAUGGAAAAUAAAAUGAACAUUCCAUGAAUGCAUGACACAAAAAUAUAUGCAAACACACCAAAGCAUACUAAUGUAAUGAAUUGAGACAUGAAAUAAUAUUAACAUAAAAAAACAAAAUAAAUGUGAUACCAAUUACGGAAUAUGUUAAAAAGAUUUAAUUAAUUCUCACACAUUUAUUAUUAUUUUGAGUAAAAGUAUUAUGGAGGUCUUUAUAUUAAGAGUUAGAUUAUAUUUUUAUUUUUUUUAUCCAAAAAAUGACAAUUUAGUCAUUGUACAUUACAUUAAAGAGCAAAUGGGUCCUUUUUAUUAAAAUUUCAUCUAUUUCUAUUGUUAAAACUAGUCUUUGUACAUCAAUAAAAGGUAUACAUAUGUAACUGUUUGAUUAUUCCUCGACUACACCAAAUUUUAACAAUAGAAAUAGAUGAAAAUUUUAACAUAAAUAAUUAAUUUACUCUUUAAUUUAAUGUACAAAAAUUAAUUUACUCCGUUUCUUAAGCAAAGAGACAAAAUAUAACCUAAUGAUCUCCCUUAGGCAUUUAUCAAUUUCUUUUCUUAAUUGUCUCACGACAAAAUUAACCAAAAUUUAUAAUUCAAGCCUUACGUAUAUUUGGGGUCAGCUUUUACAAUUGGUAUUACGAUCCCUGUAAAAUUAUGUGGAUAAGAAAAAGAAAUAAUCAUUUAAAAAAAUAAAAAAGGAAAAAGGAAAAGAAAACAUUACUUGCUACACAUCUAAUGUUCGAAUCAUGGCAAGAUUGCCUAUAAAAUUGUUGCAUCAAGCGGGUAAAAUAGGCAGAGAGGAGCAGUACAAAAAUAGCAUAGCCCCCAAUCAAACUUUAAUUUUGUCUGCGUGCUACAGCGAUCCAUUGACCCCCUUUAAAGCUGAUGGCUUUGGGCAUAACAUGUGUGGAAGAAUGAUGGGAAAGAAGGGCAUGUGAAGCUACAAAGAUAAGUGCUUCUCAAACGAGUGGCAAUGUGAUGAGAGAUGUAGUCAUGUUGGGAAACCAUUGGGACCCUUUUGGUUUGCCAUUUCACAACCACCAUCGUUGAGGAGUCAACUUCAUUGCUCUCUUUUACUCCAUCAACUCCCCAGCAUUGCCCAUCAUUUCUUAAAGUGAAGGAUAGAAAAUUUUUGCCCAUUGUCCUCCAAAAGAAGACGUGAUUGCCACGGUUUCAAACUAAAGAAGAAGAAAAACAAAAAUUCUUUUCACGUUAAAAAUAUUAUAUAUCAAAUAAAUAUUUAAAUGUCUAUUGUGAUGCUGUUUCAACAGAAGAGGGAGAUGGAUGGAGAUGUGUUGUCGGUUCACCCAAGUAGACGGAAAGCCGUAAUAGAGAAAGAGGGGGGUAUAUGGAGGAUUGAAAUACCUUGUGGAAGCAUUGUAUUGGUAAACAAGUCAUCUCAUUGUCUCUUAGUGAAGGCAAUGACGUAACCACGUAGGACUGUAAUGGGUAAAAAUAACAUGAAAACAUAUAUUAAGAGUCAGAUUACAUUUUGCCCAUUUUAUUAAAAAAAUAGAUAAAUUAGUAAUUACAUAUUAAAUCAAAAAACAAACUGGUCAUUUCUGUUAAAAAUUACAUCCAUAACUAACUGUGGCUAACAAAAUAAUCAAACAAUUACAUGUAGUGUGCAAUAUGUACCUUAUUCUUUAUACAUAGAUCAGUUUUUAACAAUAAAAAAUGGAUGAAAUUUUCAACAGAAUGAUUAGUUUACUUUUUGAUCUAACGUAUAGGGACUAGUUUACCCAUUUUUAAGUAGAGGGGCAAAAUGAAAUUCGACUCUUAGUAUUAAGCCAUCCAUGAUAUUUUUACCGAUUGUAAUGCUAUGUUAAAAGUUAAGGGAUGAUAGAUAUCUUGUCAAUAUAGUGUCUUCGACAGUGAAAAUAGGUAAACAAUAUAUAAGAAAAAGGUACGAAAAUGCUUGUCGAAGAUGGUAUAACAAAAUAUGCUAAUUGUGUUGGUGUAUAUGGGAUUUGAAUUGAUAUUUGAUGCCGUAUGAUCAUGUCGCCUGAUAUUGCAAAAAAGAAGAAAAGCAAUGGAUUUGGUCUGAAAUUGCAAAUGGGUCAAGAUUAUUGCUACUUAUUAUGAAAGAGGUGUGCACGUGUGAAUAAGAUGCAAACCAAUCGUGCUGCAUCUGUGUUCAGCUAAAAAUUGAAGGCAAAAACUUUUAACCAAUCCAAUCAACACCAGACUAACUUUUGGCCAUGCCAAUCGAAAACACCGUUUUAACUUUUAAUCUUUCAACCUUGAAAUCAUAGAUAUACCAACUUCUUCCCCUUAGUGGAAAACAUGCUACAUUAUUCCCCUUUUCUAUUUCUUUGGACCAAAGUAAACUAAUUCCUACUUUUUUUAUUGAAUUAAUUCUACGUGGACUAUUAUGAAUAUUAUUAAAAUUAAUUAAUUAAAUCAGUACUGUCGAUUGAGGCUUAACUCGAUUAGUAUGGAUAUUGUUAUCAAUGUAGGAGAAUAUGGGUUUGAGUGCGCUGGAAUGCAUUAUCCUCUUAUUUAAGAAUUGAAGAAAGACUAUAAGUAGUUUUAGGUAUUGUGAAAAAAAAGAAGAAGAUAUGAUCAGUUUUAGGUAUUGUGAAAAAAAAAAGAUAUGAUCAGAACUUAUGAAAAUUGAUUAGAAGGAAAAGUAGCAUUUACAAAACUGAGCAUUGUUAUUUGUUUUUCUGUAAGAGAAAAAUCAAAACCACUCAAGUUUUUCUUCAUACUGAUUACUAGUUACAACUUCUUCAAUAAUAUACUCUUCUUUUUUUUUAUUCUUUCAAAUUUCAAUUUACUCUAUUGUUGUUGUUGUUGUUGUUGUUUUUUUCACUUUGUUUUCUCUUAAAGUAGUGAUAAUUUUAGUUUUUAAACAUUUUUUAUUCAUGCUUUAGCGUAUAUAUAAGAACUUCCAAAUAAAGGUGCCAUGAGAGUACAUUAGAACUGUUCUCGAAAGGUCUUAUCAUGAUAAAACAUAAUAAUGGUGUCCAUAAAAUUAAAAUCUGAGAUGAUGAGAAGGAUAGACCAUCUAAGACAGAACCCUUUGUGCAUCACUAAUAUGGCAGGUUUCUUAGAGCUCUGAUAGUGGUUUCUUGAUUGACCAGACUUCAUCGUUAGGUUGGUCGGAUGAAAACAAGGCUAGAAUGUAAUUUUCAGCCAUUUGAUAUCUCUUAUUUAUUUCUAAAUUUUUCCAGUAUUGCAAUCGCUGUCAAUUUAUUUUUCUCCUAUUUUAGAAUUAUUCUAUAGAUACAAUAUCUGUGCAUUAAUUUGUAAUAUCUUAUUUAUAUAUAGUUUGUACUAUAUAUUGUGUCUUUAUAUUCUUAUUGUUGAUGAUUUUUAUUUAUAAUGAUAAUAUUUUAUUAAAAAAAAAAAGUGGCGAGGGGAUUUUUCUUCAAUGGAAGUUCUAUAGAUGGUUUAAUUGGUUUUCCACUCAUCCCUUUUUGUUUUGUUUUGUUUUCCAUAACUUUUUCUAUGUCUCACUAAUUACAUGCACUAUUAUAAUAAUCUCAAGAUUUUCAAUUAUUUAAUCGUAUUCGAAGACAAAAAUAUAUUCCUUUAUCACAAAAUCCAUGAUAUGCUAACUUAAUAGGCAAAUUGCAAAUCUUGUCAGAUAUCCAACAAUUCAAAUCCAAAGUCAAAUUUUGCUACUUUCACUAUAUUGUUACACCUCUACAAAGCAAAGUUUACUUAAAAAUGUCACUUGCUUUUGUAAUCAGCAAAAUCCAUGAAGGACGGAGUGACAAUUAAUUAUGUAUACUAAAAAUAGUAAAAGCAUUAUAGAGGUUUAUGUACUAAAAGUUAGAUUAUAAUUUAUCUCUUUUAUUUAAAAAAUAGAUAAAUUAAUCCAUAUACAUAAGUUAAAUUAUAAUUUGUCUCUUUCAUUAAAAAAAAUAGAUAAUUAAUCUAUAUACAUUAGAUCAAAAAGUAAAUUAGUCUUUUUUGUUAAAAAUUUCAUUAACUACAUCAACAAGAAGUACAUGUGACAUAACUAUCUACGUCAGUUUUUAAUAGUAGAAAUAGAUAAAAUUUUAAUAGAAAAGACUAGUUUUCUCUUUAAUAGAGUUAAUUUGCUCAUUUUUUAUUGGGACAAAAAUGCAAUAUAACUUCUAAUAAAGGGAUAUACAUGGUAAUUUACCCAGAAAAUAGUGGGCUUUUUCUUUCCCAAUUACGGUACCCGUUUCUAAAAAGAUCAGCUACUGAAUGGACCACCCAAUCCUAGGUGCUCUCUACCCUCAAACUUGAACAAAAACCAAUCAUUCCAAUGAUAAUAUCAGCAAAAUUCAGCAUAGUUUAAUUGGACUUUAGGCCACACUAGUAUAAAGGGUUUCUUUUUUAUAUGGUACUCUUACAAUGUGUAGUAUAUAUUUCUUGCUUCUAGCCAUACUACUCCCUUGUUGCUUUGAGAUUCUAAGCUUAAGCUGCUCCACCGUCAUGAAAGAUACACUUAGGUACUUAGCAGGCAUUGCAGGCCCUAGUGGUUAUGGUUCAAAAACUACUGCUCAACAAGUUGCAGACAAUUCUUCUUCCCCUCUUCACCGUCUAACUGCCAUUAUCACCGGUAAGUCUCCGUUACCAACUUUUUCUUUUUUUCCCCCGGAUUCCGAGAGAAUAUUUAAGAUUUCUACAGGAUAAACCUGAAGCCCAUUUGUGUAUAUAUAUAUAUAUAUAUCUUAAACAAGUAGUUGUUUUUGUUUGUACAAGGAUAUGGUUUUGUCUCAUCUACAGAUAAUAUAUUGGUACUAGCUUAAUAGGGAUUCCUUUUUUUUUUUAAUAUUAAUUUUUUAAAAAAUCCAUUGUACCAAUUUUUGAAGGAGCGACGUCUGGUAUUGGAGCUGAGACGGCAAGGGUAUUGGCUAAGAGAGGAGUGAGAGUGGUGAUACCAGCGAGAGAUAUAAAGAAGGCAGCUGAAUUGAAGGAAGGGAUUGAAAAUGAGAAUCCAAAUGUUGAAAUUAUGUUGUUUGAGAUUGAUCUUAGUUCAUUGGCUUCUGUCAAGAGAUUUUGUACUCAGUUCUUGGCUCUUGGAUUACCCCUUAACAUCCUCAUGUAGGUUCUCAUACAAUAAAUCCACCAUUUACAUCUUCUUUUUUCUUCUUUUCUCAAAACAAAAUAUACAUAUAUAGAAUGCUGAAAAAUAAUAACACCAAAUUUUGCAGAAAUAAUGCUGGGAUAUUCUCUCAGAAUUUGGAGUUCUCUGAGGACAAAAUUGAGAUGACAUUUGCAACAAAUUACUUGGGUACAUGCACACUCCCUUUUUUUCAUUACUAUAAUUUGGAGUAAAAGAUGUUAUCUCCACAUAAAAAAAUAUCAAAUUAGUCCCUAUACAUUAGAUUAAAGAGUAAAUCAGUCUUUCUGUUAAAAAUUAACAUGGCACACCAUGUGCCACUAUCUGAUUAUUCUAUCUUAUACGUCAAUUUUUAACUACACAAAUAGAUAAAAUUUUAAACAAAAAAAAUCAAUUUACUCCUUGAUCUAAUGUACAAUGACUAAUUUGUUCAUUUCUUGAAUUGAAGAAAAAAAUAUAAUUUAACUCCUAAUAUAAAAACGUUGAUGAUGCUUUUACUAAAAUUAUCUCAUUAAUUGAAAUUUUAGUAGGAUGAUACAUGGCUGUUAUAGUAUAUUUGAAAAUUAAAAAACUAAUUUAAAAAUAGAGCAUGGGAUAAUCUCUUAAGUUUAUUUGUAAGAUUAAACACUCUUAUAUAUAAUUAAUUAUAUAAAGAUAUAAUAAUAUUAGUAUUAAAUAUUUUAUUAUUUUAAAUAAUAAAAUAAAUUUAAUGUAUCAACCGGGUUGGAUCCGAAUAAAUUUGAGAAAAAAAAAUCUAGAUUAUAUUUAAUCCAAUUUUAUUUAAAUUAAAAAUUUUAAUAAUAAAAAAUUAAUUUAUUUUAACUUUAAUUAUAAAUAUAUAAAUAUUUACUAUAGAGUAAAGUCAACUUUUUCCUGUGGACCUACCUAACACAAUUCUUCAAAACUAAAAUUUCAAGCCUCACCCCCAAAUUCAUCUGAUUUGGUCCACUUUGUCUAGUUUAUGUUUUUCUUUCUCACUACUAUUAUUAAAAAAAAAAAACAUGCAUCAAAUGUUGUGAUUGCACUUUAUAUAAAUAUUUCCCAUUAUUGCUCUUUUUUUAAUAAUAUUUGAGAUUGUGAGAAAUUAUUUUAUUAAUGCUGUAGUUGAAAAAAUAUAAUAAUAAUCUAAAGUUCAUGCAUGGCAUGGAAUGAGAGGUAAUUCCUAGUUUUAAUUUAAUUAAUUUUAGUUUUUAUAUUUUUUGAAUUAGUUAAUUUUAGUCUUUAUAUUUUUUGGAUUGUUCAAUUUUAUUCAUGAUUAAACGGUAAUAAGUAUUGUUUAGUUAAAUUAUACUAUUAGUUGUAUAUUAUUUGUAAAGUUAUAGAUUUAGCUCAUGUUCUUCAACUGGACCAUUCUUAAUUGCUAUAUUUUUUGAAUUUCUAAACUUUUGCCUUUAUGCAAACGACGGUGGUUUGAUAUAUUGACAGGUUUUUCUUAUAUGAAAAUUACAAGCUGAUAUGACAUUACACAUGUAAUAAUAUAUUCGUUGCAUCAAAGUUUAAAAAUAGCAUAAUUAAACUCAAUGAAUUUAAUAGCUAACAUUUGAUCAAGAUUAAAAUUUUAAAAUUCUAAAAGUACAAGGACUAAAAAUGACUAAAUUAAGGUAUAGGUUUAAAUUUAUAACUUAUGCAUAGUAUAGGGACUAAUAGAAAAUUUAACCAUCUUGUUGUUUAGAACAACAGCUUUUAGAGCCCAAAAGAAGAGAGUUCCAUCAAAUCAUAUAUGUAUUUUUUGUUGUGUUGGCAGGACAUUAUUUAAUGACAGAAAUGUUAAUGGAAAAGAUGGUAGAAACAGCAGAGGAAACAGGCAUCCAAGGAAGAAUCAUAAACCUGUCUUCAGUAAUUCACAGCUGGGUCAAAAGGGACUGUUUCAGCUUCACCCAAAUGCUUAACCCCAACAAGUAAUUAUUCCACUCUCCUUCCUUCCCCCUAACCGACACUGAUCUCUCUUUUAUACAUACCCCUAUAAUGCUAUAUAUAUAGAAAAAGAGGUUAAAUAACCUCAACUUUGCAACUACUCUUAUAUUAGGGUUCAACCUUCUUUUUUAUCUAAGUUAAUUCUUUAAUUUAAUAAUUAUUCUCAUAUUAGGAUUUAAAUUAGGUAAUUAUUCUUAUAUUAAGAUCUAAACUUGACAACUACUCUUACAUUGAGACUUGAAUUUUUUUAUUCAAGUUAAUCCCUAAAUGUGACAACUGUUUUCACAUUGAGGCUUGAACUAGCCAAUUGUUUCCAUAUUAAAGUCUCAACUUCUUUUUGUUCAAGUUAAUCUCUUAAUUUGGCAAUUGUUCCCACAUUGGAGUGUGAACUAACCAAUUGUUCACAUAUUAGGGUUUGAACUUUCUUUUGGCCCAACUUAGUCCUUGAAUUAGGCAAUUGUUCCCACAUUGAGAUUUGAGCGAGAUAAUUGUUCCCAUAUUGGAGCUUGCACUUUUUUUUGUCUAAAUUAGUUCUUGAACUUGGUAAUUGUUCCCAUGUUAGGGCCUAAACUUUAGAAUUUUUAAGGAAAUAUCAUGGAUUAACUUAGACAAAAAAAAAUUCAAGUCCCAACAAAGAACAAUUGUCAAGUUCAAAGACUAAUUUGAAUUAAAAAAAUUCAAGCUUCAAUGGGGAAACAAUUACCAAGUUCAAGAACGAAUGUGAAAAAAAAAUUUAAAACUCCAACUUACGCUAAGAAUAGUUACCAAAUUUAAGCCUCAAAUAAUAAUUAACAUGGACUGCUAUACAUUACAGUAAAACAGCUUAUUUGUUGGUAAUGACGAUGCAGUUAUAAUGCUACUCGUGCUUAUGCUCAAUCCGAACUAGCAAACAUAUUGCAUGCCAAAGAAGUAGCCAGACAGCUAAAGGUCUGAAACUUUCUCUUCUUCAUUAACAUUUUUCAUAUAUAUAAAAAAAAUAUUAUUGUUUUAAUCUGCAAACAACCAUUAAAAUUUUUGCAGGCAAGAAAUGCAAAAGUAACCAUCAAUGCAGUGCAUCCAGGAAUUGUAAAGACUGGAAUUAUCAGAGCACACAAGGGCUUUAUUACAGGCAAUUCUUUUUUUCUUUUUUUCUAUGUUAAAAACAAUUAAAUAUAAUUUAACAGCUGACCAAUUACUGUGUAUAAUCUGAAUGCAGAUUCCCUAUUUUUUAUCGCUUCAAAGUUGCUCAAGUCUACCUCUCAGGUAUGCCUUUGUCUUUGUCUACGUCUUCUUCAUCCUGCCUGCUUUAUCAUCCAAAACUUAAUUUUAAGAAUUUAGGAGAAUGUCUCAGUCUAGUUUAACAGAAACCGCAAAUGCCCCUCAAAUAUCAUUUCAGUAAACAACACAGCAACUUUCCUAAGUUUUAGAAUUUGUAAAAGGGUACAUCUCCGUUACAAACCAUUUUCAUUUUAGUCACUCACCAUUAAUUUAGGGUUAGGCAAUAUUCUUGUACUCAUUUUAAUCCCUCAGCUUUAGUAUGUUUUCAUUUUUAUCAUUCUUUUUAUCUUUUUAAUUUCCUUUAUAUAUUUUUCAUUUUAAAAAAAUUAAUUUUUUUUUCAGUAAAAGGAAAAAACAUAGGUUUUAUAUAUAAAAACUUGUGUUUUUACAGGAACAACAUGGGUUUUUACUUCGAAAAAUCAUUUUAUUUUUUUAAUUUCUUUCAUUUUUUUUAGAAUUAAUUUUAGCUUUUCUAAUAAGUAAGAGAAAACUUGAGGUUUUUACAAGAAAAAACUUGAAUUUUUAUAGAGAAUUGAGUUAUACGAAAAAAAAAACUCUGAUUUCAUCUUUGCAACUAAAUAACUCAAUUUCUCAUCAACUUAAGUUUUUUUUGGAAAGAAAUAAAAUCAAUUCUAAAAAAAUUAAGUGGCCAAAAUGAAAUUUACUAAAGUUUAAUUAUUAAAAUGAAUGUAUAAUAAAAUUAUCUAACCCCAAAAUAAAAAAAAAUACAUUUUAAUACGCUUCUACUCACAUUUUCAAAGUUGUUGUAAUAACAAUAAUACUAACUAAACUAAAAUUCAUUACUAGAUCCACGGGUCACAAAAUGGUUCCCCUCAAUUUCUUAAAUCUGCCCUCCAUUUUUCUUCAUCUUUUCUGGAAACUUUUAAUACCUUGAGGAAAGUUAAAAGUAUUUUAUAUAAUUGUGUUCUAGCUUUAAAAUUUAGCUCUAUUUCUUUUGUUUGACAUAAAUUUAUUUUAAUUGUGAAUGAUAGUAAUCCUCAAAAUCUCCCCUUUAUCCACAAUUUUGAUUUGGGUUAAUACAUGUUUGAAUUUAGUAAUUGUUCUUAGAUUAGGGUUUAAAUUUGGUUUUGGUUUAAGUCAGACCUGAAUUUGAUAAUUGCUCUCACAUUAGUGCCUAAAUUUUUUUGUCCAUGAUAUUUCCUUAAAAAAAUUCAGACCUCAAUAUGAAAACAAUUGUAAAGGUUAAGAAUCAACUUGAAUAAAAAAAAAUCUAAACUCCAAUAUAGGAACAAUUGCCUACGAAAACAAUUGUAAAAUUCUCUGCAUUUUUAGAAUAAUGUUAAGCUAUAGAGUAGGGGCAAGCAUUAGUGCUAAUAUUGCAAAACAAAAUUUCAAAUGCAGGGUGCAUCAACUAGCUGCUAUGUAGCAUUGAGCCCACAAGCACAAGGGUUAAGUGGGAAAUACUUUGCAGAUUGCAAUGAGUGCAAUUGCUCAGCCUUAGCCAAUGACGAAUUGGAGGCUCAAAGAUUAUGGAGGCAAACUCGAGCUCUCAUUCACAGAAGACUGCAAUAUCAAUUCCCUACAUCAUCUUAGAACAUUCUAGUUACUCAUGUUUCACCCAACAUAAUUAGAUAAAUUAGGAAGCUUUGUACAUAUACCCCCAAUAUAUUUAUCUUCAUCUACAUUUAUAUAAAAGCAUUUUGUACCGGUAAAUGAACAUGACAUAUUAUAGGAUUAUUUUGGAUAUCGGAUAAAAAGGUUUUUUUUUUAAUUUACCCCUAAUUUAGGUUGUAUUCAUAUUUCAGCUUAAAUCUUCUUAAACAUUAAUAAAAGUUGUGUAAUAACUUUUACAUUGUUUUUUUACUAUAUAUAGAUAGAGGUUGAACCUUUAAUCUUAUCCUCUCUCUUUUUUUGGAAUUCUUUAUUUUCGUUUUACGAUUCAUAUUCUAAGUUCAUGACUAUCCCUCCCAACAAUGUCAUCUCCAAGUUUGACAUGCAUUCUCCUACCAAUAAUGCUUUGAAAAAUGCCAAAUGUUGGAAAUGGUACCAUUCAUGAACACAUUCUUGAAAGACCAAAACUUUGUAUAAGUUACCAGCAAAGUAUAAAAAAUAAAAAAAAUUCUAAAGAAAAUAUGAAAGGGAGGGAGGUUGUGGACUUACCUAGGUUGCUUUUUGAUGCUUAAAUGUAGUGUUAUAAUUUAUAAAAUAAAUCUACAAUAUAACUUAAUAAACCAGGAUCUGUCAUGUCAAAUCAUUAAGAAUAAAUCAAGAACAAAACUAGAUGUGGAAGCGUACCUGAAUCCAUGGAUUCCUUGAAACUUUCUGGAACUUGGGGAUUUGAUCUUCCAAAUUAGCACACAAGAAAUUCAGAGAAUAUCUGCUCUCUCUUUCCUAAUGAUGGGAUAUUAGAAAAGAUAUCUUGUGUAUAAUUUGGGGACCAUAACCCUAAUAUUUAUAACCUUAGCAUAUUAGUUUAGAAUUUGAUUAGAAGAGUAUCUACACAUAGUUGACCUAUACUUUAUUUAAUAAUUAAAAGCCCAAUAAAAUUCUAACCAAAUUAGAUCACUUUUAAUUUGGGCUAACCUAUCAUGAUAGUAAAUAAUAACAUGUAAUUAUCCUUAUAUAUAUAUGUGAUGUCCAAAUUUUCCAACAAUCUCCCACUUAGACCACAUAUAUAUACUAAUUACUUUAUAAUUACAUGUCAUUAUAUAUCCUUAUGAGCUCAAAAUUUUACUAUCAUAUCCAAAAGGCAUUCCGUACAAUCUAGUCCAUUAAUUAUGUUAACAUAGAACCAAGGCGACUUUCGUUACAAAUAUCGUAACUAAUCUAUCCAUGAUCACGUAUAUUAACACAACCAAAUGACAUAGAUCAAGUAUGGAUGUGUAGCAUGGAAAUUACGUGCAAUGUGAUCUAAACAUGUUUAUUUCCAACUGGUCCUCCUUAAACUUAAGUGAGGUCAAUUUCAAAAUAAUAAACAGAGUGAAUAAACUGAAUACUUCAUUUCUGAUCAGAAAAUAACCAAAUACAUAAAUGACUGAAAUAUAAACUCCCACUAAAUCAUGAUAUCCUCAAACAAUGUAACACCCAUGUGAGCAGUGUGCUCAUGAAAUACCUUGGGUGGUAAACCUUUUGUGAACGAAUCCGCUAUCAUGGAGUUUGUCCCAAUGUGCUCUAUGGAUAUUUGACCAUUUUGCACUAUUUCUUUUACAACUAGGAACUUUAUGUCAAUAUGCUUUGACUUAGAUGAACUCCUGUUGUUAUUAGAAUACAGCACUACUGACUUAUUGUCACAAAAUAAUUUGAGCGGUCUGUCUACAUUCUCCAAAAUGCGCAGUCCUGUGACAAAGUUUCGCAACCAUAUUCCAUGGUUUGAUGCCUCAUAGCAUGCUACAAACUCUGCUGUCAUAAUGGACGAAGCUACAAGUGUUUUUUUGACACUUUUCCAAGAUAUAACUCCUCCGGCUAAUAGGUAAAUAUAGCCUGAUGUAGAUUUCCUACUAUCUUGGCAUCCAGCGAAAUCAGAAUCAGAAUACCCUAUGACCUCCAAAAGAUCUGAUCUCUUAUAAGUAAGCAUGUAAUCUUUUAUUCUCUGAAGAUAUCACAUAACUCUUUUGGCUGCUAUCCAAUGUUCUAUACCAGGGUUGCUUAAAUAUUUGCCUAACAUCCCAACAAUGUACGCAAUGUCCGGACGCGUACAUACUUGAGCAUACAUUAAACUCCCAACAGCUGAUGCAUAGGGAAUCUUUUGCAUUUCCUAAAUUUCAAGGUUACUUUUAGGGCAUUGAGUAAGACUAAAUUUGUCUCCUUUAGCGACAGGGGUGUCACCUGGUCUACAAUUCUACAUGCCAAACCUUUUGAGUACUUUAUCGAUAUAGCUCUUUUGUGAUAAUCCAAGAACACCUCGAGAUCGAUCUCGAUGUAUCUGAAUUCCUAAAACAAAAUAGGCAUCCCCAAGAUCUUUCAUCUCAAAAUGCUUGGAUAAAAAUCUCUUGGUUUCAUGCAAUAAGCCUGUAUCAUUAGUGGCAAGUAAAAUGUCAUCAACAUAUAGAACCAGAAAUAUAUACUUACUCCCGUUGAAUUUGUAAUACACACAAUCAUCAACAAUAUUCAUCUCAAAACCAAACGAAACAAUUAUUUGAUGAAACUUGUGGUACCAUUGACGAGAAGCUUGUUUGAGUCCAUAGAUGGAUUUUUUCAAUUUGCAAACCAUAUUCUUUGAGUCUUUUGACUCAAAAUUUUCUGGUCGCACCAUAUAAAUUGUUUCUUCAAUGUCGCCAUUAAGAAACGCAGUCUUAACAUCCAUCUGAUGUAACUCAAAAUCAAAAUAAGCAACAAAUAUCAUGAUUAUCCUGAAGGAGUCUUUCAAUGAAAUUGGAGAGAAGGUCUCUGUAAAAUCAAUGCCUUCUUUCUGAGUAUAUCCUUUAGCUGCAAAACGUGUCUUAUACCUUUCCACAUUACCAUUUGCAUCUCUCUUGGUUUUAAAUAUCCAUUUACAACCAAUUGGUUUUGCACCUUUAGGUAAUGGGACAAGUUCCCAAACUUUAUUGUCUUGCAUAGAUUUAUACUCAUCUUUCAUAGCAUCAAUCCACUUUUGAGAAUUAGAACUUUUCAUGGCCUAAUGAAAGUUGAUUGGAUCAUCUUCCAUCAUUCCAUUAUCAUCCUCAUGUUCAUGGAGAAAUACAAUAUAAUCAUCUGGAAUAGCAUUUCUCCUUUCUCUUGUGGACCUCCUUAAUGACACUUGUUGUAAUACCCUAAAAAUUUCUACAGUAAGAUAUUAUCCUUAAUAUAGUAAAAUAAGGAAAUAAAGUGAAAAGAAGAGGAAAAAUUGAGUUAUGUCACUGGGAAGUAUAUUAUGAUAUACUAAUUUAAGAAAGGACUAAAUUGUAAAAGUGAGAAAAGUUUUGUGGCCCAAGAGUAAAUACUCAAAAUUUGAGGGAUUAAAAAGUAAAUAUGAAAAGUUGAAUGACUAAUAGUGUAAAUAUUUUAAUGGUGGAAUGAUUUAAAAACUAAGGAAAAUUGAUGAAUUGGGACCAAAUUGAAUAGGUGAAGAAUUAUGAGGGACUAAAUUGCAAUUUUACCAAAUUAAGUGAUGACUCAAGAAUGGAAUUUUAAAAGAUAACAAAAGGCAAAAUGAUCAAUUGGAAGAAAGAGAAAUCUAGAGACAAUGAUGAUGUUGGAGAUAUUUUAGAUAAAUUAAAUAAAUAAAUAUUAGUUUAUUAAUACUUUAAAUUGAUUUUUAAAUCAUAUUUUAUUAUUUUAUUAUUAUUAUUUUAUUUAGUAUAUAUAAGGAAAGAAAGAUGAAGAAUCAUCAUCUUUUCUUUCCCAUGCAAACCAACGUGAGAGAGAGGAAGAAGAAAAGAAGUUUUCUUUCUUUACAAUUUGGUCCUUCCACCAAAAAUUCACCAUUUUCACCUAGAAAUUAAAAGAAUUUUCAUAGCUACUAAGAGAGAAAAAUGUUAAGGAGACCAUGAGGAGUUAGAAUAUCAAGUUGGAUUCAAGAAAUAGAAGCUUGAGGAGAGAGAAAAUCAAGUUAAAGAUUCGUAUCAAUAGAAUAAGGUAAGUACAUCAAGAUUUCAAUAUGUUUUUAAGUUUGUUAUUAUUGACAAAGCAUGGAAAUAAUGUAAUAGUAGAGUUUUCUUACAUAAGGUCUUAUAUUCUUGUUAUGUUAGUGAAGAUAAAAUAAGAGAAAGUGAUGAGAAAUGGUGUAGAAAAAGAAAAUAAGGGUGUUAUAACAUGGUAAUUAAUAUCUUGCACUAAAACAGUUUUGGACAGCAGCAGUAGUCUAACUUUUAAAAAUCAUCAAAAAUUGUAGAAAUCUAAUUAUAGGAUGAAUAAAAUAUGAAAUUAAAUAUUAUUAAGUCUAGUUUCUUAUAGAAGAAAUGAUGUAAGAAAUGGAAUUGUAAAUCAUGAGAUAUGAUGAAUUUUGUGAGACAAGGUCAGAAUGAUUUCGGGUUCCCUUGUUCUGACUUUGUAAAAUCAUAAAAAAUUGGAUAAAAAUAAUUAUGGAAUUAAAUCUAUAUAUUUAUAAUCCUGAAUGAGUCUAUUUUCAAGAGAAACAAACGGGAACACCAUCUGAAUUCUGAGGAGAUAAUUAAUUUUUAGUGAAGAAGGGUCACAACUGUCAAACAGCAGAAUAAGGGUGACUUUAAAGAAUAAACUGUACUUAUUGGCUUAACCAAAAAUUCUGAAAAUUUUAUGGAAAGAAGAUAUAUGGGUCUAGUUUCAGAGAAAAUUAGCGGAUCUUAAUUUUGAGUUUUAUAUCUCCAGAUAUAAAUAAUUUAGUGAUUAUGACGCAGAUAGACAGCUUGAAUAUUCAUAAAAGUAAAUAAUAAAAAUUAUAGAUAAUGUUACUUACAAGUGUGUAUAUACAUUAAGAAUGUGGAAUGGAGAGGAGGAGGAGGAGGAAAAUAUGUAUGAAUAUUCAUCUAGCAUGGCUAAUUUGCAUAUUUUAGGAUCAGGGACUAAAUUGAAUAAAAUUAAAACUUUAUGGGCAAUUUUGUAAAAAUGUCAGAAAUGACCAAAUUGCAUGAAAUGGAUUAUUUUAUUAUUUAAAUUAUAAAAUUGAAUAAAAUUAUUAAUUUAGUUCAAGAUCGGGGGAAAACAUGUUUUAGGGAUUAAAUUGAAAAGAGUUGAAAUUAUGGAAAAUUCUGAUAUUUUAUAGAAUUCAUGGACUGUUAUCAAUAUGUAUGAGAAUAAUAGCUGGAAAUAAGGAUUAAAUUGCAAGAAUUUUAUUUUCCUGACCCUAAGGAUGAAAUCGUCAUUAAUUAAAAGUUUAGGGGUAAAAUGGUAAUUUUGCCUAGAGCGUUAAUUAAAUGCAGUAGAAUAUGAAAUGAAUGAAAAUGAUGAUCAAAUUUAUUUAUAAAGAUCUGGACGACUCAAAUACGAGACUUGAUCGUGGAAAAGAAAAGAUAUCGGAUUAAUGAAAUUAUAAACACAAACAAGCAAUGAGGUAAGUUCAUGUAACUUGAAUUAUAUUCUUAAAUGCUUGAAAUGUAUGUUAUUGAUGUAAAUAUGAUUUGAAAGUUCAUUGUAUGAAAAUUUAUGAAACAUUGAUAUAUUUGAUAAAAAGGGGAAGAAAUCUCAAUUGAAUGAAAGGAAAUUUCGAUGGAUCUCUAAAAAGGAAUUGACGGUAAAAAGGAUCUAGCCCGGACGGGUGAUCCUAUCCUGAUAUAGCCCUCCCGAAGAAUAUGUGGAAGAUGGAUUUAGCCCAGACGGGUAAUCCGAAUUAGGGUCUGAAUUUAGCCUGGACUGGUAAUUCAGAUCCAAGCUCAUUAGAGUAAUUGUCGUUGCAGGAGAUUUAGCCUGGACUGGUAAUCCCGACAAUACUCUAUGAGUUUAUAUUACAGGGGAUUUAGCCUGGACUGGUAAUCCUGCUGUAAGGAUGAGGUUCGCGGGAGUGUGCUUUCUGAAAUGAAAUGUGUAAGAACAUGGUUGAAAGACACCAUGGCAACAUGAUAUGAAAUGUGUAAGACCAUGGUUGAAAGAUACCAUGGCAAUAGGAUAUAAAUUGUGUAAGACCAUGGUUGAAAGAUACCAUGGCAACAUGAUAUGAAAUGUGUAAGACCAUGGUUGAAAGAUACCAUGGCAACAUGAUAUAAAAUGUGUAAGACCAUGGUUGAAAGAUACCAUGGCAACAUGACAGGAAUGAAUAAGACCAUGGUUGAAAGAUACCAUGGCAAUGUAACAUGAAAUAAACAAGACCAUGGUUGAAAGAUACCAUGGCAACCUGACAGAAAAUGAGUAAAACCAUAGUUGAAAGACACUAUGGCAUCAUGUCAAAGAUAAAUAAGACCGUGGAUGGGAGACGCGAUGACAUCUAUUGAACAAUUGAUAUUCAGGUAAUAUGUAUCAGAUGACGAAUGGUUAUAUGAAAUGGUUGUGUGAAAUGUUUACAAGAACUGGUCAUAUGAAAAUGUAUGUACAAAAUAGUUGUAUGAAAUAAUUAUGAAGAUAGAUAAACGAAAUAAGAAUAAGUACAUGGAAUAUAACUUAUGUUAAGUUUAAUAUAAACUUUACCGGAACAAAUAUACAUAAAAUAAAUGGAAAUGAUGGAGCAUGAAAUAUUGAUAUAAUGAAAUGAUUGAUAUAUACUUAUGAAGAAAUGGUAAGAGAAUGAUAUGUUUCAUGACAUGUACAUAUAUGAUUAUCGUUGAUAUGUUGAUACAAGGAAAUUAUGUAAGUAAAGACAAUUAUUAAACUCAAGCGUGACAUGUCGAGAAAAUAAGUAUAUCAAUGUUGAAUUUAUAUGAAAUAUGUGCAAGUAUACUAACAAUGAUGUUGUUUGACGCUUAGACAAGUGUCAAGCUAUUGAUUGAAUGAUAACAUGUUUAAUUAUAAGAAGCAUUGAAAUGGUAAGUAUUUAGAUGAAAAUAUUUAAGAUUUUGCAAAAUUUUUUUAUGAUCCCGAUUUAAUUCCGGUUGGUUUUUAAUGUAUGUUUGGGGCUUCAAGGGCCCAAUAGAGAGACGUUAUGAUUAUUUUCAAAAUAUGAAUAAUAAAUGACUCAGAAUUAUCUGAAAAUGUUCAAUAAACUCCGGUAAUGCCUCGUACCUAUUUCGACAAUGGAUACGGGUAGGGGGUGUUACACUUGUUCUUGAGGUUGUUGAGUUUGUUCUUCUGGAACAAUUGCCUCAUUUUGAAUGGGAAGUUGUUCAACAUUGUCUUGUAGAGGUUCUGGAUUCACUUCUUGAUCAAUGAUAGGUAUAAGAACCUAAACAUCGUCAAAAGUGAUAGUAGAAAUCGAGUUAGAAUCCAAUUGCUCCUCAAAAGCAAUGUCUCUAACCUUAUUUCUCCCUCCAAACUCAACAUCCUCAAAAAAUGUUGCAGUUCCUAUCUCAAAAAUAUUCCUUAUUAUGGGAUCAUAAAAUUUAUAGCCCCUGGAUCACUCAGAAUAGCCAAUAAUGUAGCUGCUUACUGUUUUGGAGUCCAAUUUUUAUCAUGUGGCCUAUAAGGCCUUGCCUCAGCUGGACAUCCCCAAAUGUGAAAGUACUUUAGACUAGGCUUUUGACCUGUCCAAAGCUCGUAAGGUGUUUUUGCAACUGCUUUAUUGGGUACUCUAUUCAGAAUGUAAGCUGCUGUCUUUAAUGCUUCUCCCCAGAGGGACUCAGGUAAGGUAGAAUGAGCAAUCAUGCUCCUUACCAUAUCCUUAAGAGUUCUGUUUCGUCUUUCAGCUACACCAUUCAUACUUGGUGAUCCUGGCAUGGUGUACUAUGGGACAAUACCACAUUCCUCUAGGAAUUUCGCAAAUGGUCCUGGACAUUGUUCACCUGAGCCAACAUAUCUACCGUAGUACUCAUCACCACGAUCAGAUCUGACGUUUUUAGUCCUUUUGUUGAGUUGAUUCUCAAUUUCAGCUUUAUAAGUUUUGAACACGUCCAAAGACUGAGAUUUCUCAUGAAUGAGAUAUAGGUACCCAUAACGAGAGUAGUCGUCUAUGAAUGUUAUGAAAUAUUGUUGACCAUUCCAUGAUGCCAUAGGGAAUGACCCACAAAUAUCUGUAUGAAUUAAUUCUAAGACGUCUGAAGAUCUAUUGGCACCCAAUCUCUUGGUUUUGGUCUGUUUUCCCUUGAUGCAAUCGAUACAAACAUCAAAGUCUAUGAAGUCAAGGGACUUUAAAAUACCAUCAGACACAAGGCGUUCAAUUCUAACUUUUGAGAUAUGACCUAAGCGCCUAUGCUAUAAUGAUGCUGAAUUUUCCUUAUUUAAUUUACGUUUAAUACCACGUGAUUCCACAUGCAAGGUUUCAUUAUAGAAUGCAACUGUUUCUAGCAAAUAAAGGUUCUCAUAAGUAUUUAAAUAACCAGUUCCAAUAACAUUUGAAUUUAAACACAAAUUAAAUUGAUUGUUUCCGAAUGAACAAUAAUAUCCAAAUUUGUCCAACGAAGAAACAGAAACUAAAUUCUGUCUAAAUGACGGUACAACAAAAGUGUGUUUUAAAUCCAAAUAAAAACCAGUUCCUAAUAACAACCUAAAAUGUCUAAUUGCUUCCACUUCUACCGAUUUUCCAUCGCCCACAAAGAUGUGUUUUUCACCAUCACUUGGCUUUCAGUAACUCAGGCAACCCUGCAUAGAAACACUUAUGUAACUGGUAGCACCAGAAUCUAUCCACCAAGUGUUUCUAGGUACUGAAGCUAAAUUAAUCUCAGAACAGACCAAAUUAAGAAUUAUACCUUUCUUUACACGCCAAGCAUGAUAUUUGGUACAAUCUUUCUUUACGUGUCCAGACUUAUUACAAAAGAAACAACUCUCUGUAGCUUGUUGUUGUUUCUUUUGAGCUGGACCCUUAGCAGCUUCAUUCUGAUAUUUUCUUUUCUUGCCCUUGUCCUUAGGGGCAUUGGCCAAAUCAGCAUUUGCAGACUUAUCAUGCUUCAACCUUUCUUCCUCGUGCACACAAUGAGAAAUGAGCUCAUUUAGGGUCCAUUUCUCCUUUUGACAGUUAUAACUAAUUUUAAAUUGGUUAAACUGUGCAGGAAGCGAUACCAAAACCAUAAGAACAAGCAAUUCCUCAGAAAGCUUGAUCUUAAGUGCCUUAAGUCUUGAAGCAGUAUGGAACAUCUCCAUAAUGUACUCCCUUACGUUUCCUUGACCCUUAUACUUCAUAGACAUCAAAGAAGUCAAAAGUGAUGUUAUCUUAACCUUAUCAUUUUUAGCAAAACGUUUCUCAAUUUCAUCAAGGAAACCUUUGGCUUGAGUAAUCUCUUCAGAUUUUGUGCCCCUAAAGGCUUCUGGAAUGCUGUGUUUCAUGAUCAUUAAACUCAUGCGAUUUGAACGAUCCCACCUCUCAAAGUCCCUCUUAAUAUCAGGGGUGCUUUCCGCAGUGAGAGGUGCAGGUUGUUCUUCCCUUAGUGUAAGGUCUAUGUCCAUACAACCAAGCACUAUAAGUAAGUGCCUUUUUCAUUCUUUAAAAUUAGUUCCAUUAAGCAUGGGUAUAUAAUUUAUAUUAGCAGAUAUUGUGGCAGCAGAAGAUGAUUUAGCUGAAUAGAGAACAAAAACAAGCUUCAUAAGUAAACAAUAAAUUCAAGAUAAUGGCUAAUCCCAUCUCAAGAUACCAAACACUACAUUAAUAUCAAGUCUUUGGACAGUAAUAUUAACAGUAAGCGGUACUCUUGUUGUAGCAUCAAACAUUGAUAAUAAACUAUGUCAAGCAAUGAAUUAAUCUUUGGACUAACUUAUUACUCACAUAAAAUACCUUAUAAUUGUCACGCAUUUAUCACCACAGAUGUCGUUGUAAUUCUGUCAAAUAUUAACUUACCUUUGGGUCAAUCAAUAAACACAUGAAUUACAAAAAUAUAUAACCAUCUUAAUACUUCAAAUAAACUAAUCUACACAAAAGAGGUCACUUUGGCGGUAUUUUGUUUCAACUAAUUUAUUUAAAAUAUUAGAUAUCCUUAAUUAAAAGCCAAAAUUUGAAUUUAUUUGUUCCAAAAUAUUUACCUUAAUUUCAUCUUUCAAUCAAAUUAAAAGAUAAAACACACAUAUAUAUAAUUUUCCAAAACAUUAAACCAAUCAAAGCAUGCAUAUAUUAUAUAUUUAUAUAAACAAACAAAACAUAUAUAUGAAUCAAUUUCUAUAUAUAUAUUUAUAUAUAUAUUUUAAAUUUCAUAUAGAUUAAAAUAAUAAUAAUCACAUGCCUUACAAAUACACAGGAACUGAAUCACAAUAUUUUUAAAUAAAGCUUAAAAACGUAGGUAUCAAAUAAUAUUACACAAAUAUUUUAAACUUUAUAAUUGAAUCUAUUAAUUUGAAAAUCACCCAAAAAAAAUUUAUAUGAAUUCAAGAUAAUAAAAAACUUUAAUAUAAAUCUUCAAAAAACAACAUAUAUAUCUGAAAUAUAAAACCCAUGAAAUUUCAUGAAUUAAUUAUUCAAAUGAAGAACCUGAAUCAAUUCCCAAUGAUUCGAUAUGGCGAGGCUCGAAUGCCACUUGUUAUAAUUUAUAAAAUAAAUCUACAAUAUAACUUAAUAAACCAGGAUUUGUCAUGUCAAAUCAUUAAGAAUAAAUCAAGAAUAAAACUAGAUGCGGAACAGUACCUGAAUCCAUGGAUUCCUUGAAACUUUCUGGAACUUGGAGAUUUAAUCUUCCAAAUUAGCACACAAGAAAUUCAGAGAAUAUCUGCUCUCUCUUUCCUAAUGAUGGGAUAUUAGAAAAGAUAUCUUGUGUAUAAUUUGGGGACCAUAACCCUAAUAUUUAUAACCUUAGCAUAUUAGUUCUAAUCAAAUUCUAAUUAGCAUCAAAUUCUAAUUAGCCCAUCAUUAAUUAGAAUUUGAUUAGAAGAGUAUCUACACAUAUUUGGCCUAUACUUUAUUUAAUAAUUAAAAGCCCAAUAAAAUUCUAACCAAAUUAGAUCACUUUUAAUUUGGGCUAACCUCUCAUGAUAGUAAAUAAUAACAUGUAAUUAACCUUAUUAUAUAUGUGAUGUCUAAAUUUUCCAACAUGUAGUAGAUGGUAUAAUUUGGUAUUCUCAUGAACGUCGUUCAUAUUCUAUUUAAUUGAGACAAAAUGAGCUAAAUGUAUUAAGUGGCACUUGGUAGUGUCCUCUGCAGAUUGCCAGUGAGGCAAUCAGAUUUCUUGUCAUAUUUGUGUUAGCAAUUUAAUGAAGCAAAACCUUUGGAGUAGUAAAUAUGUUGAUAUUUUGAAGAUACUAUGGUCUACCUAUUGUAACAGCCAAAUUUUUCAGUGGUGUCGGAAACAGUGAUUCGAGAUCACUAAAUCCGAUGAGUAAAUUUAGAAAUUUUAACAAAUAAUAAUUAUAGGCCAAGCGCGAACUUAAAAGAAUUAUUUUUAAUUAGUGAAUUUUGCGAUUUUAAAAGAAUUAAUCAGGAAAAUUUGGUUGGAAACGAGGUAUCGAGACCUCGGAUUUAUAAACCAAGCCAUAAAUAUUUUUAUAAAUAUUUAUGGAGUGUUAUUAAGUUAGUAUUAAAGUUUCGUUAGAAAAUUUUAACGUUUGGUUAGUCAAUUAAUUAAAAAGGACUAAAUUGAAAAUAGUGUAAAAUUUAUUAAAUUGUGAUUAAAUAGUUUAAGUGAUUAAAAAGGAGGGAUUUAAAAGAAAAUUGGACCCAAAUUGUAUGGGCUGGACGGUUGGGCAAGAAAAUCAGCAAAAAAGACAAGGAGAAACAAGGGCAAAAUGGGAAAUUUUGCAAAUUAAACAUAUAAAACAAGACAAAUUUGAAAAAUCUAGAGAUAUCAUCAUUUUUCUUCAGCAAAAAUGCCAUGGGAGGUCUGAAAGCUGCUGGUUUUUCAUACUUUGACAUAUGUGAGUUCAAUUCUUACCCUUUUCUUUGAGAUUUUUAUGUUUUUGUGACUUUUACAAUUAGGUCCAAGUGUUUAAUUCAUUAGUUUUUUAUUUUAUGAACAAAAUUAAAAGCUAUCAUUGAUAAGUGUUAGCUGUUUAUGAUGAAAUAAAAUGAAUUUUAAGCUUUGAUUUUGUUGUUUGAUGAUUUUAUCAAGUAAUUUCAAUAGAAAUUAAUUUUAGGACCUAAUUGUGAAAAAGUUGUGAAUUAAGGUUUAGUGUUAAAAUUUUUAUUUUCAAAGAUUGUGUAAUAGUAUAGAAUGAUGGAAUAAAAUGUUAAUUGAGAAAAAUUAGCUUAAUAGAUGGGCUAAUUGAGCAAGGACUGAAUUGUAUGACCUUUGAAAUUUAGAGGAAAAAUGGUAAUAAACAUGUUGAACUAAAACAAUAUCGGACAGCAGAAGUAGACUAACUUUGAAAAAUCACCAUAAAUUGUAUAAAUCGAAUUAGAAGAUGAAUAAAAUAUAAAAUUAAAGCUUAUUGAGUCUAGUUUUUCAUAGAAGAAACAGUGUAAGCAAUGGAUUUGUAAAUUAUGAGAUAUAAUAAAUUUUGUGAGACAAUGUUAGAAUGAAUUCGGGUUCCCCUAUUUUGACUUUAGAAAAUCACCAAAAAUUGGAGAAAAUUAAUUAGAGUCUCAAAUUUAUAUAUUUAGAAUCCUUAAUGAGUCUAUUUUCAAUAGAAAUCAAUGGGAACAUUAUCUGAGUUUUGUACUGUGAUAUAAUUAAUUUUUAGAGAAGAGAGGUCAGAACUGUUGGAUAGUGAAACAAGGGAAAUUUAAAUGAAUAAACUGUACUAAUUGGCUAAACCAAAAAUUCUUAAAAUUUUAUGGUGUAAUGAUAUGUUAGUCUAGUUUUAGGGAAAAUUUACGGAUCUUAAUUUUGAGCUCUUUAGCUCGAAUUAUAAAUAAUUGAGUGACUAUGACUCGUGUGAACAGAUUGAUGUGAGCAUUAAUAAGUAAAUUGUGAAAUCGUACUUACAAGAAUGUUGUAUACAUUAAAGAUGUGGAAUGGAGAGGAGAGGAGGAAAAAUAUAUGUGAAUAUUCAGUUAGCAUGGCUAAUUUGCAUGUUUUAAUCUCAUGGACUAAAUUGAAUAAAAGUAAAACUUUAGGGGGCAAUUUUGUAAAAAUAUCAAAAAUGACUAAAUUGAAGGGAAUAAAUUGUUUUAUUAUCUAAAUUAAUAAAUUGAAUGAAAUUAUCAAUUUAAGAUUGGGUGAAAUUUGGGAAAAUGGUAAAUUACCAAUAUGCCCCUAAAUCUUAGUAUUUCUGCAAUUUAGUCAGGUAGGUUCGGAUACCCUGAAUGAGCAUGUAAAUAUGAAAAUUUAAGUAUUGUAUCGUAUUUUAUAUGAUAUUUUGAAUUGAAUAUAUGAAAAGGAUAUUACACCUAUGGAAACUGAUUUGUGACUAUUGAAGAUUGGAUUUGGUUCAAGUGAAUUAAUUCAACCAUUGAAAUGUGGAGGUUGAUCGAGAUUGUGUUGUUGAUUCUUGAAGAUCAUAUCUUCUAUUAAUUAUGUUUUGAAUGUUUAUGUUGUAAUUGCUAUUUUCAAGAAGUUAUUUUGUAUUCACUUAGAUUCAAUGUUAGCAAGCCACAAUUGAUAUAUGUUUUGAGACUUGUCUAGGUUAUGUAUGAGAGCAUAUUAAGAGCACUGGAGUCUGUUCAUUGAGAAAUUGUUUAGUAAGUGCAAAUUUAUUUGUAAACAUUGAGUGUUUACUACUCAAGUUCUCAGGGAGAGGAUUGAAGGUGAGUGUUCUAGUUUUUAGGUACAAAUGUGGGAUCUUUAUACUUGGGGAGUGAUAAAGUGUGAUUUGUUGGACAAAACACAUUAGCGAACAAAAUAUAUAAAUAUAAAUAAACAAUUAUUUAUAUAUAUAAUAAAAUAUAAAUAGAAUAAUUUAUAUUUAAAUUGUCAAAUACGUGAACCAAUAAAAAUCGUAACAAAAAGUUGAAAUCGAAAAGAGGAAUAAAGAUUUACUAAACGUUGAAGCUUGUUUAACACAGUUUCUUAAUACAGAUUUGACCGCUUCUACAGUACUUGGAGAAACGUUGGUCGAAUGUCUCGUAAGAUACAACAACACAAUGAUCAAAGCAGUAGUACCUCUGUAGCGAUCAACGAACAAACGUUUCCUUUUUCUAUUACCAAAACGUUGGAAAAUAUGGAGAGGAAAAGAAGAAUUUUGAUAGUAAAAUAAAUUCGGUGUGAGAGAGUAUGAGUAUAGGAAAAAAUUCUACAGAAUUCAUAGUCUUUUAUAAGCAUUCAGUAUAGUGGAAUUUAGGAAAUUUCCACAAAAUCUGUCAUUAAAGAAGCCAAUAAAUCAAUUUGAUUAAAAUUAAAUCAAAUUGAUUGGAAUCAAAUAAAAUAAGAUAAAUAUCCUUUUAUAAACAGAUUUUGUAUGUCUGCUGAGGAAAAAUUAAUUUUGUGUUGGGCUAAAAUAUCAACACGCUCAUUUUGGGUUAGACAUUUCGCAUCGCCCACGUUGUAAGAUGGCGCCCCAACCCAUGUGGGUUUGGACCUACAUCUCCCCUUGCACAUGAGGCAAAGAUCCAAAUUUAGCCAUUCAAUUACUUUUUAAGAGGGCUCCCAUAUAUAUACAGAUCUCACACUUGGUAUUAACCAAUGUGGGAUCUAAGCUUUUACUUUUUCUCAACAAAUAUUUUCAAGUAGCUUACUUUGAGCAUCAAUUUCUCAUUCAUCACUCAACUAUUUUGAGCAUAUGAUAUACCGUUGUAAAGGUCUCAUGAAGUAGAAUAUGAAACCAUAAUUUUAUGAUUCAACUCUCCACCUUUACCUAUUGAGAAUAUGCCUCAAAGCUCCCAUAAAUUACAAUUUUUCCAACAUGAUUCACUUAUUGUAUUAUGGAUUAAAGAUAAUGGAAUUACUCACUAAGCUAGGCUCCGCAAACAUAAGGAAAUUAAAUUGCAUAAACAAAUCUUUGGUUUUUUGUGUUUUUAUUUGCAUAGGUUUUAGCAGUACCAAGCCAUGGUAGUCAUUAUAGUCAAACACUUCCAUUAACCAUUUUCAUAUUUAAGCAAACAACAACUAUAAGUAGCAACAUUUCCCGUACAUCUAGACAUUUCAAAAUCUUGAGGCAUUGGAUAAGUUUUUUUUCUUUUUUAAUUUUAGUUAUUUUAAUUUUAUUAUUUGAUAAGAAAAAUAUAUUAUUCUUAAUUUAAAGAUAAAAUAUUGAUAUUUAUAAAAGAUAGAAAAUUUCGAACCAAUCAAAUUUUGUAAUGUGUCAUCAUUAUUUAUAUAUAAUUAAUUUAACUUAAUUAAGAUAAAAAUGAAAAAAUAAGCCUUUUAGAACCCUUUUAUUAAGAGAUCAUGUUCUUUGAGGUUUAUAUUAUCUAUAAUCAAAUUAAAUGAACCAAGAGUAAAUAACAAUGAUUAUCCAAUCCCUAAUUCAUUUAAAUUAAUCAUGAGAUUAAAUAGAAGAGGUGAUCUUUGUAGACCAUUUAUCUAAAGAGAGCAUAUUCUACAAGAACUCUCUCAUUAGUACUAUGAAAAAUGAUCACUUAUAAAUCAUUUAGCACAAGUUCAAAGGUUCAAAAGUACAAAAUUUCAUAUGAGGAGAAGAUUUUGUAAACUGAACUCUAUCCAAAAUAGAAAGAAAUUUGGAAAGGAACAAGCACUAGAAAAAAAAUUAUGAAAAACUCUACUAUAGUUCCUAAGAAUUCUCAAAAUUUACUCUUUGGUCUUGUUCAAUCAACAAAAUAUGAUGUUAAGCCCUCUUUAAUAUCAAGUCUAGAAUGUCCUUGAACCAGAACCAUCCAUUGAAGACCUUCAUGUCAAAGUUCUCCCCAAUCUGAUUAGGUUAACACAAAAGAAAUCAAACUUGUUCUUUAAGAUAAGUCUUCACGACCUUUAAAGCGGACUACAUCCAUCCAAUAUCAUGGCUUUGAUAAUCCUUUGAUUGAAGCUUCAUGGAAGAAGAGAAUAAAAGGAACUCCUUUAAAUUCAAGACAUUGUAUCAGUUGUAACUCAAAUUUUAUAAAUAUUUGUUUACCUCAAAUUUUUUUAAGUUAUGCUUUGGAUGCAAAAAUUUUGUGAACUAUUUAGUAUAACAUGGGCUCUUCCAACAUUUUUAGAAACCCCACAUUUCCUAUCAUUUCUGACCGCCCAAAUGAUAAUGAUUUCCUAAAACCUUAUCAUUUCUACUAUAAAAAAGCUCCAAAAUCCUUAAUGCAGCUAGUACUUUUCCAAAAUAGAAAGUUCCUUAAAGUUGAUUAACAUUUUUAUUAUAUUCAACCAAAUUAUUAAAAUAAACUACAAAUUUGACUAGAAAUGUGUAACGCCCUUCGCUCGUCUUGAUAGCUGGUACAAACAUGAGAUGCUAACAUGACAUUUUCGGAGCAAAAUCAAUAUUUUAUUUACAAAAAUAAAUGAUAAAUCAUUUUUUAUAAAAUAAUAUAAAAAUAUUUAAAUUCUAUAUAAAAUAAAUUUUAUGCUUCCAAAACAAAGUUCAAAAAUCUUAUAGUGCUAAUUAAAACAAAAGAACUAGGUAAUUUGUAAAAUAUAGGAAUGUUACUUAAUUUGUAAAAGGUUACUCAAAACGUUAAGGAAUUUAUAAGAAAUUAAGUAAAAACAAAAAGAGUAAUAGUACGUUAAAUUAUGUCGAAUUAUGUAACUUUAUUUGGAAAGAUUGUGUAGUUAUAGAAAAUCGUGUACAAUUUCUUGAUAUCUAGGAAUUAGGGUUAGAUAUAGAUUUUCUUAUGAAGUUGCAUAUUUUUAGGAGUUUCCUAUUUUUAGGGAGUUAAUUACUAUUUUAAGCUAGACAAUUGUGUAUAUAAACUAAGGCUGUAACCUGAUUUAGUGAUGAUAAAUUUCAUUCUUCUCUUAUGAUUUUUGUCCUGAUAUCAGAGCUAUUGGCUCUUUCUUGAUAAACUCUGAAUUUUUUCUAUUCUUUUCUCUGGUCAUACCCAACCAAGUUCUAUCUUCUCUGUUCCUCUCAAUCGUUGUUCCAUUCUCUCUCAUAAUUGCAUUGUUUGUAUCUAUUUCUCCAUUCAAUCAAUCAUGUCGAAAUCACCCAAAAGCUCUGUUGGAAUCACUAGUCCUGUCACGAGUGCCCCUACAUUCGAGAAUAUUGUCACUGUUACAACCGAAGAUUUGUAGAACAUUCAAGCCGUAUAUCAAUUGAAUGGGAAGAAUUACUUGAAGCGGUCACAAUUGGUCUGCACUUUUCUAAAGGGCAGAGAAAUAUUAAGCCAUUUAAUGGGCACAAGUCCUUUGCAGGACGAUCCCAAAUUUGCGCAUGGGAUGAACAAGACUACAUGGUGAUGUCAUGGUUAUGGAACUCGCUGCUGCCAAAAAUUAGUGAUACAUGCAUGUUUCUCAAAACUGCCAAGGAGAUUUGGGAAGCUUUUCGACAAACAUAUUCCAAGGUUAAUGAUGCUACAAAAAUCUACAAAAUUAAGAUGAAAAUUUCAACAACUUAAUAAGGGACACGGACUGGCACUGAAUAUUCGAGUCUCUUACAAGGCUUGUGGCAAAAGAUGGACCAUCAUCAAUGCAUCCAAAUGCACUACAAUGAAGAUACAGCAAUUCUAAAGCGAUUUGUGGAGAAAAAUCGUAUUUAUGAUUUUCUUGCAGGAUUAAAUGUUGAAUUUGAUGCUAUAAGAGUGCAAAUUUUGGAAAAUUUGGACCUACCAUCUCUGAAUGAGACAAUCUCUAUUAUACGUGCUGAAAAGGGACGUCGAAAUGUUAUAAUUAAACCUCAAGGGGGAUAUGGUUCUACACUUGUUACCAAAGCCAUAGAAUUGAAAGAGACGGACACUCCUUCAUUAGUUACUCGAGGGGACUCAACCAAACCAUUCAAUCAAAAUUCACUAUUCUGCACAUAUUGUAAGAAGCAUCGUCACACCAAAAAGAGAUGCUAGAAAUUUCAUGGCAAGCCCAAUGAAAAACCCAAUCGAAGUCUGAAUGAUUGAAGUCGGGGCACAUAUGGUGAGUACUUUGUCAACUAGUGAAGAAGAUUUUAAGAAAUCUGCUCCUGAAUUUAACAUCAAAGAAAUUGAAAAAUUAAAAACCUUUUUGGGAUCGUUUGAGAAGGCAACCUUGACAGGUACUUGUUCAUUGAUGUUUUCAAGUAUUUCUUCUUCCUCUUGUACUAAUGUCUCAAAAAACAGUUCUCCUCCCAUGUGGGUGACUGAUUCCAAAUCCACUGACUAUAUGACUUAUUCCUCCAAACAUUUUAUCUCUUAUACUCCGAAUUGUAGCCAUAAAAAUAUCAUAAUAGUCGACGAAUCCGUCACCAACAUAGCUGGCCAAGGGGAUAUUUACAUAAACAAGAAUCUUACAGUAAGAAAUGUCCUUCAUGUUCCAAAGCUAUUUGCAAGCCUUAUUUUCAUUCAAAAAUUAACCACAGAUUCAAAUUGCAGUGUAACAUUUUUCCCUUCACAUUGCGUCUUUUAGGCACUGGACACGAAGAAGAUGAUUGGACGUGCUAGUCAGAGAGACAGUCUCUACUUCCUGGGAAAACAAAGCAGUAUAACAUGUGUUGAAAAUCUCAUAUCUACAUUAUUUUUUUCCGAGUCUGUCAUGUCAAACCAAAAUAAAAUUUUGCUUCAUUAUCGUCGUUUAGGUCAUCCAUCUUUUAGAGUAUUCAUGUUGAUGUUUUCUUCUUCAUAUAAAGGUCUUACUUCUGAAGCCUUUUAUUGUAAUGAUUGUGAACUUGCCAAGUACAAACAUGAUUCCUUUCCAAUAAGCAAUAAAAAAACUUUUGUUCCUUUUUCUCUCAUUCAUAGUGAUAUUUGGGGGCCUUCUACCAUUUCAAAUAUUCCUAGUAUUAGGUGGUUUGUUUUAUUUAUUGAUGAUUGUACUCGAGUGAAAUGACUUUACCUCUUGAAAAAUAAAUCUGAUGUUAGCAUUGUUUUCCCUAAUUAAGAGAUCUCAAUCGAACAAUGCAAAGGAUUAUCUCAAUCAAAUCAUUUCUCCAUUCUUUCAAAAAACAGGGAUUAUUCAUGAAUCCUCAAGUGUUACCACCCCACAACAAAAUGGAAUGGCUGAGCGAAAUAAUGGUCAUCUCCUAUUAAUGCUUCACAAGAAUGUUCUCAAACAAUACUGUGGUGAAGCUGUAUUAACCACUAUCAAUCGUAUUGAUAGGCUUCCGACACGUGUCCUUGGGUUCAAAAGUCCAAUUGAUAUUCUCACAAAAUUUUCCCACACUUCUUUGCUUCAAACAAUCUUAUUCCCCGAAUCUUUGGGUGUGUUGUGCUUGUUCAUGUUCAUUCUCACAAUAGGAGCAAAUUAGAUCCACAUGCCCUUCGAUGCAUUUUUAUCUGAUAUUCCUCCAUAUAAAAGGGUUAUAAAAUUUUAAAAUUUUCAAGGAAAAAUAUAUGCCAACUACAUCCUUACCAUCCACAUAGAUGCUCUGUGCUCCGCAAGCUUAACCUGUAUAGCAGAGGCGAAGCCAAAGGGGCUGGCAUAGGCCCCGGCCCCCUUAAAAUGUAAAUUUGUUCUUUGUUCCUUAAAAUUUUUUAAAAAUUUUAAAUUAGUAAAGGUAAAAUUGUACUUUGGCCCCCCUAAAAUUAUAAAAAUUCGAUUUAAUCUUUUACAAAUUAUAAAGAUAUUGUCGAAACCAUUUUUUUAUUUUAGAAAAAAAAUGGGAAUCGACUUUUAAAACAAAGUGUAGAGUCGCCCCCAAUCCUUUUGUUUAGGUGUGAUUGGAUCACCUAAUAAAACAUUUUAUUACAUUUAAAUCAAUUUUGGCCUACGUAAAUUUGAGAAAACGGGUUCGGGAGCCGAUUACGUAUGAGGAAGGAUUAGCACCCUCACUACGCCCAAAAUUGGUACCAAAUUAUUAGGUACUGUCCUUAUGUCUAAAAUUUUAAAAUACUUUGAAAUAUGGCUCCUUUUAAAACAUUUGAAUGGCUCAAGUUGCUCGUCAAAAUUCUCUUGUUUCAAAGGAAUACAGCAUCACAUCCAGCACGAUAGGACAUGAUCCUUUAUACCUUCGAAACCACGAUUAAUUUUUUACUUCCAAAAGCUCAUACGUUAAAAAUUACAAAAGGAUGCCCAAUUAUUUAGUCCAACGAAAAACCGAAACCCAGCACGGUAGGGCACGAUUUCUCGAAUUUCCAAACAUUGAACAUUGCCUUGUUUUAGAAUUUAGAAAAUACGGAUGAAAUUUCAAAGGAAUAUUUGAUUGUUUUGGACAAACGGAAAAUCGAAACCCAGCACGGUAGGGCACGAUUCCUCGAAUUCCCAAACAUCAAUCAUUACCUUUGUUAUAGAGAAUUUUCAAAUAAACAAUUGUAAAUCAGCUCAAAACGCAUUAAUUUGCCUUGAAAUAAAAUGGAACAAUUAAUUUUAAAACAAAAAGUUGAAAAUUACCAAGCAACACUUGCGAACACAAGGAAAAAUUAUAAACAUGGAACAAUAUACAUGGAUAGAGAACUCUAUUAAUGAAUGAAAAUAGUAUAAAAACAAAUUAACAUACACACAAUAACCACGAUCUUACAUCCAAGAAACAAAUUAGAAUAAAAUAUAACAAGUUUCGAACAUAGAUGAAUAAAAUUUAAAAUAAUAAUACAAAAGACUAACAAACGAUAUAAAACAAUAAUAUGUGAAAUAAUAUGAAAACUAAAACAACACAUAAAAUACAAAACAAUAUGGCAACAAUUUGAAAACUAUUAAAUAUAUGAAAAUUUACAAAUGAACAACACAUAAUAGAAGAACAAUAAAUUAAUAAUAUAUAGAUGAUUAAAGUAAACAUUAUGAAAAAAAAAAGAAGUUUGGAGCAAAUAAUAUACAAAAUAUCUUAAAAAAACAAAACAUAUCUAUUUAAAAUUGAUUAUAUACAUAUAAUAAUAAAAAACAUAAAUAAUAUAUAAUGGGGUAAUAGUCCAUGAAAGAAUUUUAAAUAACAAAAAUAUGAUAAAGUAUGUUUUUAAAGAAUAAACUAUAUACAUAAUAAAUUUGAGAGGAAAUAUAUAUAAAUAGAUUUAAAAGAAAUUAUAUAUAUAGAAUAACAUAGAAUUAAUAUUGCUUAUAAAAUAAAACUAAUUUAGAAUUAAUAUUGCUUAUAAAAUAAAACUAAUUUUAAUAUAAAUUAUAUAUAUACUAAUAUAUAGGUAAUUUAAAUUAAAGAUUAUACAAAAUUUUAAAACAAUAUGAUAUAUAAAAGGUGAUUUUAAAAUAAUAAUUUUAUAAUAAAAAUAAAGUAAUUUAUCAAAGUAAUUUAAAAUGUAUAAAAAAAAUUAAGAGAUGAAUGCCAAAUAAAUAUAAAAAAAUAGUGAAUUAUACAAAUUGAAAUGAAAAAAACUUAAUUGAAAUAACAUCAAACUAGAGGGAUAAUUAAUAAAAAAAAAGCUAUUGAAAUUGAAAUAAUGACUAAAGUGCAAUACGCGCGAAUGUUCAGGGAUCAAAUCUGAAAAUAUUCCAGAUCCCAAAACAUGGCGUUUAGACGCGGACUAAACUGAAAAGACAUGCAAAUUUUAGGACAAAUUUGAAAUAAAUUAAAAUGUAACUAAGGAUCAAUUAAAAGUCUGCGCGAAGGCGAAGGAUUAGCCGUGCAAAUUGACCAUUCGAAGCGCCAAAGCACGGAUCCAGCCUAUGGAUCGGGCUUGCGCGCGGAUCUUCCCCCCCUCUACACGGCACCGUUUCAAACUCUAUACAAAGUCAAGCCUAAAAAAAAACCUAAAAUCAAUCAUUCAGCCACUUUAACAAAAUCAAAAAAAAAAAAACUAAACUAAACCUCUCCUUAUUCAUUCGGCUGAACCAUGAACCUUCUGCCCAGCCACCACACGUUACCGUGACCGGUGAUUGGCGGUGAGCGAAGCCCGUUCUAAACCGAUUAAAGCCACAUAUGCCAAUUUCAACCCCGAAAUCCUCACUUAGACUUCGAUUUAGACGAAGAAGAUGAGGACUCCGAAGGCGAACUCUCAAUGGUAAACCCUCUAUUUUUUUAGAUUCGUCGAAUAGAUUCAAAAUAAAGUAAAAAAAAAACAAGAAUAAGAGCAGAGAAAUAAUCUACGAAUCACCUUUGGUAAACUCUUUUUGAAUUGAUUUCUUUUUUCAUAUAUGCGUCUGUUCUCUCUAUUUUACAUCGUUUCAUUCAGUUUUAUAGCCAAAAUAAAUAAAAUAAAUAAAUAAAAAGAAAUCCAAAUUUCAUUGCUGUCAUUUGUUGCUAUUUGCUGUCCAUUGCUUGUGGUUGUUUUCGUUUGUUAGUCUGUUGCAGGUACAGCUAGAGGGUGGCGCGUGUGGAGGCCAUUAUGGGGGUGAAGCGUGAAGUCACUGGUGGCUGCUUGCGGCCCGAGGGUAGACGGGGCUAGGGUUUGCUUCAAGCAUGGUUUGGGCUUAGGGUUUAUUAUUCUUUUGGGUCUGCUUGUAAAAUUUUGGGCUUAAUUUUAUUAUUGGGUAUUGGGUUUUGUAAUGGGCUAAGGGGUUAUAGACUGUUUUAUUGAUUUUUAUUAUUUUUUGGUUUUUUUGCAUUUAGUUUAUAAGUCUAAAGGCCCGGGUGAAAUGGGCCUAUUACAAAUAUAAAUUAUAAAAAAUUAAAAUUUUAUUCGGCCCUCCCUAAAUAUUUAUUCUGGCUUCGCCCAUGCUUUAUAGAUGGGUAGAUAUGUAGAUGUCC